RNAcentral lists this long non-coding RNA (68186 nucleotides) under Malus domestica (apple). Its description in RNAcentral is "long non-coding RNA (MDOM_LNC016043)". The record is from RNAcentral. Lineage: Eukaryota; Viridiplantae; Streptophyta; Magnoliopsida; Rosales; Rosaceae.
AAGUUGUGAGAGCUGCUGCUGCGAGAGUUGCUGCUGUUGUUGAAUCUGAGGGUGCUGAUGUUGAAUCUGUGGAUGUUGUUGUUGAAUCUGAGGAUGCUGUUGUUGCUGACCGGGUACUUGCAUUUGUUGCUGCUGUUGCUGACCCGGUACUUGCAUUUGUUGCUGCUGUUGCUGACCGGGAACUUGCAUGUGUUGUUGCUGACCGCCUACUUGAAUUUGUUGCUGCUGUUGCUGACCAGGAACUUGCAUGUGUUGUUGCUGACCGCCUACUUGAAUUUGUUGCUGUUGUAGCUGUUGCAUUUGCUGCUGCUGCUGCUGCUGCUGUUGCUGACCACCUACUUGUGGCUUAAACACAACCAUAUCCUGAACCGAUGGUAGAUUUAGCUUUAACAAAAACCAGGUUGUAAGAAGGUUACAAUGCCGAGCCACAAACUCAAUUUGGAGUACCACCACAGGCCUCCAUUUCAGAAAGAAGUUAAAACAGAAGUUGCAGGAUAUGCAGGGAACCUUCAGAACUAAAAGCACCUUAUACAGACUGGAAAACGAUCCCCACAAAAUUUUCACAAAAUAAAAGCUCCAUUUUCCAGGUUUCUUUUAGUAAUGAAGGUACCUCACAUAUUUGUUGUGGAUUUAGCUCAGAGUUGGUGGCUAUUACUUUAUAUUGGCAAAAAACUAAUAAUAAGGAAUUACAAUCCGCGGUAAUAAGAAUGGUCUAACUAAUAACAAGCUCACCCCUGGAAACAGCAUUCCAAUCAAGCGGCAUGCUUUGUCUGAAACAGAGAGCAGUAGUGUCUGAGAGGGCAAUUGGAUCACUGCACACUGAAAAAGUGGGCAAUCAGCUUUUUGAGAAGAUAACAAACUUAUCAGAAUAGUCCUCGGUUUCAUGUUCACAUUCAAAGGAAAACUAUUGCAGGUGGUCAAAUAAAAUAGAAGAACUAGCUUUUGAUGCUGAAGUCUCACAUGGAUGAUACCAGAAUCAAGAAUUACCCCACUUCAAGCCAAGAGAGCCAAUUAAAUGCAUAAAUUUAGUUUAACACAGCAUUUAGAUGUUCUUGAGUUUAAACAGAUAAUUAACUAAGUUCAUAUGAGAAUGUCACACAGAAUCUAAGGAAGUACUCUGCCAGAUCAGAAUUUACAGAUAAUCAAGUGGUAAUCCAAGAUGCUUACAUUAAUAUAUAUAACAGAAGACAAUGAUUAGGCAAGUGGGUAAGGACCUUUGAGGGAUAAAGUGGAAGCGGCAAGAAAUUGGAUAGCAAAUUAGCAAUGAGGACAAUUUUUGAGUCUCGAGGGAAAAAGUGGUAAGGUAAAAUAAAGAGAGUAGACAGCUUACAAGUUUCUUCUCUUGCAAUUGCCCAAGAAACCCAUGCUGAUUCAUUGCCCGAAAAACUAAAAAGUCUGCCUUUCCAACAUAUUGCCUGAAUUAUAAAUAUUGAUGAAGUCAAGAAAACUGAGGAAUAUAACAUCAGGAGGAAAAUAUUACACAGAAAAAUAAAGGAGGGAAUGUUUUCACUAAAUUGUAAUUACUUGUUAUUCAUGUGGUCCUGAGAUAUGAGCCUCACUAUUUGCAUUGUUGGUGGCCAGUUAGCUGCAAGCCUGAGGAGUGAAAUAAUGCACAUCAUUAAAUAUACGCCAAUGACACAUUUUACCAUAGUCAUGAGAUUAAGAUUUUAUUGUGCACUAAAGCACUAAUCAAUUAAGCCCAACUAAAGAGUUCUGAUCAAAAUACAUUCAACCUCAUGCCACUAUUCUUACAGCAUGUCAAGAUAUUAGGAUUCUAAGAAUGAAGGUAACUAAAUUUUUAUUUUAAUAAAAGAAAAAGCCGUCUGCUUUGAUAAGUUAGAAAUAUUAAUAGUCAUAGACCUCUUUUUCUACAUAAAAGAAUUAAAGUUAAAAUAGAAACUUUAAACCAUUGACUACAUUCCAUUAACAUCUAUUUGAAACAAAAAGAAGAAAGAGUACACUCCCGACUUACGUCUCAGAAGCUGAAGCACUCCUGUAACCCUGGCAAAAUCAGAAAGCAUUUGUGGAGUUAACAAAUAAUUAACUGCUAAAAUUGUAAAAGAUAACUAAGAGAAAUAUAAAUAAUCCCAUGUGGUUAGGCCCUAAACAUGCCUCAUGCUCUGUGGUUUAAUUCAGGAUGCUCACACCCUUAUGGUUAUCAAACUGUCUAUAAAAAUAGAUGUCAUUGAUAGCACACUUGAAAUAACUAUUUAUGGAUUGUUCAGUGUUUUCGGCAAUUUUUGUUCUCUCUCCUCCUCCGACAAAUAUAUUAAAACUCAAACCAAAUGCAUAAUACUUUUGAAUUCAAAUCACUCUGAAGCACAAUCACAAGGAAACAUAGAGAACUUUUUUCAGAAAAAUUUAAGUUCAACAUAAAUAACUAUGGUUAUCCAUGACAGCACAUUGGCUUGAUUCAAUUUAAGUUCAACAUAAAUAACUAUGGUUAUCCAUGACAGCACAUUGGCUUGAUUCAAUGGCAAUUUGGAAUUUCCCUCUCUGGUGAUAGUUUAUCAGUGGUGUUUUGGGUGAAGAGUCACACACAUGAUGGUCAGAUGGUCAGAUGGUUUACCAAUUUAUAUGGAAACAUACUGAAAAUCCUCAUGUGCCAGAGUCACACACAUGCUCCACUUUUCUCUCAAAAAUAAUGAUUUUGUGCAAUGCAAGAAACCACAGACGUAAGAGUAUCACAAAAUAAACCACAGUUUCCAUGUCAUCCAACGAGGCAACUGAGAACGAACCUCCAAUCUAGUGAUAAACACAGGCUGCCCUUGUCUCUGCCCAGAUAAAUUUCCCUGCAUGUAUUUUGAUCAUUCAAGUAUGAGUGAUUGCAGAAUACCACAGUAAAACAGGACCAACCAUCUUUAAAACUUUCCUGACAUUCUAGCUUAAAAAGUUACCACCAAAAGUUUGAAAAUCCAACCAUAUUUUUUUAAAAGACCUACCUCCCAGACUUUCACAUAUUUGGAUUGUGCAGAUGCCAAAGCACUUGAUGUCUGUUGUGAAAACGGCACAUUAGAUGCUGAAUUAUUGUUUGCACCAAGUGACUGCAUCCCAGAUUGCACCUGUUGAGCCAUUCCUGGAGUAGGAAUCAUUGUACCAGUUCCAGAAGAGGCACCUGUUGAACCAAGGGCACUCAUCAUGUUCGGGUUCAUGCCAAUUCCACUUUGAACCAUUUGCGGUCCCGAGAGAUUUCCUUGGCUCAUACCAGGCACAGCUUGACCCAUACUAACACCACCUUGGAGGUUGCUCAUUGGUUGUGACAUCCCAAGGUUAUUGUUGCCAGAGACAUUAGAGGUACCUGAAGUGAAUGAAUUAAGACCUGGGUUCUGCGCAACCUGUGUAAGAGUGCCGGACCCUGAAGAUGUAAAUACAUUUUGAGCAGCACCAACUGAAGAUGCCAUUCCACUAGAUAUCAUAUUUGAUACAUGCAUGGCCAUAGGAUUUUGACCCAUAGUUGGGAGUCCCAUAGAAGUUCCUCCAGUUAAGGCUGCUGCGUUCAUCACACGUGCCUGAGAGAUGUUAUUGAGGAUGCUACCUACAGGACGCGAGGGAUGUGUCACACCACUCACUACAGGUUUCAAAUCUGGCACAUUAUCAUUGUUUGUGGCCAUCUCUUGAGAAGCAGAAGAUGGUGAAGAAGUCUGCAAGCUCGGGACUCCUUGGGAAGGAGGACGGACAGAUGGAAUGUGUGCAAAAGAAGGUCCCAUGGAACUUACGGUACUUGGCUCCUAAACAAAUCAUAUCAAAACUUUAUAACUAUACGUGUGCAAUUUAAAGCAGUAUACCAGACCAAAGUGAACAUCUCUUUCCUUUGCACAAAGCAUAAAAGUUCAAGAGUGCAUAAGAAAUCUUACAACUUUUACAGUAGCAGGAGGCACAUUUCCAACAGAAAUUGGUUGCCGAUUCAUAACAGGUCCAUUCACUAAUUUGAAAAAGAGGAAAGAAAAAGAAAGGACAAGUUAGCAAACAAGCAGGAUAACCAAGAAUUAACCAUGAAAAAUUAUGAACAGCCUAACCAUAACAAACUUAAGUGAUUAAUUCAAGCAAGACAGCCUAUUAUACUAAGAUUUGUAAUUCAAACCUUACUAUGUUCAUUUGAGGGGUAUGACGAGACAAUUACUCUUAUAAAAGAUAAAAUAGAAAUUGCGACUACACCUUAUUGACACUGAAACAUUGAUAAUUUCAACAAAAAAAAAGUCAAAUAGAUAAGUGAAACCGAAUCAUUAAGUACUUUCAUUAACAGAAAAAAAAAAAAAAAAAAACCAAAUAUUUUGCAGUGGAAAAAGGGACAACAUAUUGACUGCAAAACCAACCAGAGGGCAUAGAAGUUGGAGGCGGCCCAGUAACUGAAGCAACAGGAGCUAUGUCCAUUUUUACAGGACUCUGAUUUGAGGGCAAAGUUGUAAUUCCUGGACGACUUAAAGUAGCACGGGCCUCCAUAAAAUUCUCUGAGAUUAAAACAAGAAAGCGGGGAUUUUUCGCAUUAUCAAUUGGUGGAUCUGCCGCUCUAGGGUUGCGCUUUCCCUGCAUUGGCAAAGUGCUCACUAUCACACCAACUUCUUCUAGUGAUCUUAAGCCAUAGGAAAUAAAAUAUUCAGUCUGGCAAUAAUACUAUCACCUCCCUUUUGUAUUGUCGAACAUUCUUUGCAGCUUUAUUAAUAUAAUUAGACAGUGGUUCCAUGCAUAUGAAUACCAGAAAAAACUAUAUUUUUUGUUCAAGACAGUCUAAGUGGUUGAUUUUAGAAUUCAACAACAUAAAGGGUUAAAGCUCAACAGAGCACCAAGGAAAAUAAAGGAAGUUACUUUAAUGUUGAUUUAGCAAGAUAUACAAAAGGUCAAAAGCUUAAUACAUACAUACAUACAUACAUACAUACAUACAUACAUACAUAUAUAUAUAUAUAUAUAUAUAUUAUAUAUAAUAUUUAAGGAUAAGAGAUAAGAGAUGGAACAUACCGCAUUGUAUAUUGCUCUGAGCUCAGGUAGCUGUAUUGGACAAAUGACUGACAGUGAAACAGAGCUCUGGAUGAAAAAGUAAGGGCUCAUUACUGAUAAUUUUCAACCUUCACGAGGAACCCAUCACAAGGAAAGGAACAGACAUCAUUAAAAUGGGAAUAAACAAAAACACUACCUGUGGAAAUGAUUUAGCAACAGCCUCAGCAUCAUAAAGACGAUUUUCUGUUUGUGCAUCAAUAUUUUCAUUUUGCUCCAAAUUUUGAAUUUGUGGCCGAUACACUGGUGUGGGCAGAGGGUGAGGUUUACUUGCAGCAAUAAGAACACAAUGCUUCUGACAAUCCACAUUUUGUUGAUUUUGGCUUCCAUUUUGAACUGUAGGGAACAUCUGUGUUUUACAUCAGAAGAAUAGUAAAUGUUAAGUUUAACAUGCGACUAAGAAAUGCAUUUGAACUCAAAAGUACUUAGACGGCUUUGAACAGCAUACCAUUAGAGCUUCCGAAAGCCCUUCCGCAAUUGCAGCAUCACUAAAACCACCCCCAGAAAAGGGUAUAGCUGAAAGCCUAUGUAAGAAGAGAUCCACAUCCCUUGUCCAGCCACUCCGUUGUACCAGGCAACCUUGAUGAAAGGUUGUACAAUUAUUUCAAAAUAUUCAUAUAUAUAUAUAUAUAUAUAUAUAUAUUGAGCAAAUGCCAGUUACAGUAAUGACAUGGAAUGCCUACAUAUCAUCUUGGUGAAUUGGGUUCAUAAGAAACAAGGUGUGAUACUAGUUAAGUGGUAAUUUACCAGGAAAAAAAAAAAAACUUCCAUUUCCAGCCAUAAGUUGUCCUACUAAGGGGAACUGGAAACGUAUAACUUAAUGUAGCUCGCUGUAUUUCCACAUAAAGUUCGCAAAACAAGUUUUUCAGACUUCCAGGUGGUGUUAUGUACAAAGAGCCACUACGUUACAAUAAAGUCUACUAAUUUUAGAAUUUAACUUAAAGCUAGUAAAAAUCCACCACUUCAAAGGGAAUAAUUCCACAAAGCAUGUUAAAAUCACCAAGAAAUCAUUUGCAAACCUUGAACAACAUCCACCUUAACUUUCAAACAAUUAUUUGACUUAGUAUAAGAUUGAACCCUGUUUACAAAGAACUAUUUGACUUAGUGUAAGAUUGAAUCCUGUUAGUAGGAGGAUGGAGGACUAGCAAGUCUUCCCCUACAAAAAGUAAAAUUCCUGAAGAAUUUGUAGUCAACCUCGUACUGCAAUAAUAAAUUAACAACACAAGUCAUACAUCCGAAAACUAGGAAUAAGAAGAACAAAAUUACAUACCACAAUAAGAUCCAUGAGUAUUGAACGUGACCAGGGAGAGCUCAACAGUAGAAGUCGACAGCUUCUGCAUCUCAAAAGCCAAAUUACAUAAUAAGAAAAAGACUACCAAGCUAGAAGUCUUACAGACGGAACUAAUAAUGUUGUUGCCAGUGAAACGUAAGAAUGGUUGUCUAUGGUUUGAUAAUAGUUGAUGUAGUGUACACAAAUGGUAAUCAAAUUAUUACAUGCAUGCUAUUAACAUCUAGUCAAAGAAGGCACAACCACCUACACGAAAACAUGUUUAAAUAUGUAAUGAACAAUUAACAGUUCGGACAAAUGACUUCUGAUGGAUAAUGAUAAACCUAAAGUAAUGGAAAAGGGACAUACCUGCCCACUUGGCUCGUUUCCACAGAAACUCCUGCAGGAAAAAGAUAAAUCAGAUGUGACUUAUUUAUAGAGUAGUGCAUAAAAUCCCAUGCAUGUUAAUGAAAAAUCAAUGACAAACUUCAUAUUUGGUUCUAUGUACAGGAAUGUAUUAGAUGAAGAUUGUUAAUAUUCCAAGUAUGAACUUUUGCUGAAGUUGUUAUAGCUAGGCACUUAUUAACUUUUAGAAUUCUCCAGGACACUAUAAAAAUUUCAUGUGCAAUGAAAUGAAACUGUAAAUGGGAAAUCAUGAUAAAACCUCAUCUUUUAUACUAUACUUGGGGGAGUUAAUUAAACCCCAGGAGAAAUAUAUGAUUCAACAGGACAAAUUCAUGAGAACUUACCUUGUAACCUACAUCAUAAGUAGAAACCAGAAAGUAACGUGUGAAAUCAAAGCCGGUCAUAGACAAGGAGGGAGAAAGAACAGAAGCUAGCUACAACACAGCACAAAGGAAGAAAGAUAGAAAAAUUACUAAGAACUUAAUCGCGAACCUUACGAUCUUCUCUAAAUAAUCUUUAAAAAUGAGUUCCCAGAAGGGACCCAUGGCUGCAGUCCCUUCAACAGUGAUGAUCAGUUGUUUCUCAGCCAUUAAGGUUUUCUCUGUGAUAGGAUUGGGGAUCUACUUUUAAAGAUCACAUUGACGACCUCGGGCAUAUCUAUUAGUCUCAUUGAUGAGCACGUAUGUACGUUUUUCUCUAGUUAUUGACACGUCUGCACGAAACUCUGUAAGGUAAAAACUAACCAUCCACCAUCGACCACGUAACCUAUACGUUACUGAUUAUAGUAUUACAAUAACAAAAAUAAUAUUAAGAAUUUAAAUAAUUAAUAAUAAUGUGUAAAAAUACACUUCAGACAUCGUAGUAUAGAGAAUGCUCACUCCAAUAAGCUGGAGCAUGAUACUCUGCUUCAAGAUGUCUAAGGAGUUAUCCACUCUCUCCUUUGCUUGACCACCGGAGGAAAACCAAUUAUUCAAUGUCAAACCCAAAACGUAAAUAUGACAGAUUUAGCCUAUAAGUACUGUAUUUGUUCCUAAAGCAGAAGGUUCUGUAAUAAGUUAAUAGCAAACACGGGAUAAUAACUGAAAGUUACCUCAUUAAAAUCGCUUGUAUUGUCUGCAUAAUUUGGAAGGAAGUUAAUCUUGAUACAUGGAAUGUAUCUAUCUGACCAAUUAUAGGACUUAUUUUCCAUCACAUGCCAACAAGCAACAAAUCAUCGCAUGGAGCUCAUCACCGCGGAUAGCUUCUAACAAAACUGACGAGAACUAACUAAUUAUUUAUAAAUCAAUCAAAAUCCAGUUUCCAUCAGGAUUAUAUGAAAUAAAACUUUGUACAUAGUAGAAAUAUAGCAAGGCUGCCUACGGUUUCACGGUACGAGGGUACAGAAAAAUCGGACCUUUCUACAACUACAACACACUAAACUAGUUUUAUCAGAUUCUUUAGUAGCUGACGAAAGAUUCAAAAUUGAACCAAAACUGUAUAGUUUUUCCAGCUAACAAACAACUACUCCGCAUAACCAAUUUCAAAGUGAAAAGUGAAAUUGCAAUCAAAUGUCGAAUCCGAGCCACCAAACGCAGCCGAAACAAGCUAAUUAAUCACAUAAACAAGCCACAUAAAAUUCUCGCCCGAUAACAAACACCAAAACCCUAAAAUCACAAUGCAACAAAAAAUCUAAAAAAGAAAUCAACAAAAGAAUAAAUUCAGCUAAGAAACUCCCUACCUGAUGAUCUUAUCAAGGUAAUCGGAGACGACGGUUGCCCAGCAGGGCCCCAUGGCGGCGGUGCCUUCAACGGCCACGAUCAGCUGCUUCUCCGCCAUCGUACAGCUAGAAAGGACCGUAGAGAAAUUUCAACUGCUUUUGCUGGCUGUGCGGCGGAAAUGUGUGAGAGUCCAAAGCUUGGAAACGGUGGUAAGUGCACGAAACGCAGCGUUCUGGACGACAAAGACGAGUAUUUUAAAUGGGAGUCGAUACCCCGCUGCUGCCGCGACUGGUUUGGGGUUUCUUCCGGUGGCGCAAAAUUAAAGGCCGAGCCCACAGCCUUUUUUAAGUUUUUUUUUUUUUUUUUUUUUUGAAAAACUGGAAAUAUUCAUAACCAGGGCUGGAACCAAAAACACAGGGAGACCUAUCAGGAGGCAACAACCAAAGUACACAAACAGAUGGCAAUGAAGAGGGGAACAAAGGCUAAAGAUGUUGCACCAAGUGUGAAGCGUCACCCUUUCACUACCCAAAAACAAUUACGGAGGACAGGGGAGGCCAUCCUUGUUCAAAAUAUGCACCAGCGAAUAUGGGGGAUGGUUAAUCCAAGUAUAACCACACAUCUCCGUGUUACUUCUCGACGCCAAACGGUCCAUCGCCAAAUUGACUGAUCUCGAAACCCAAUACCAACGAUACAUCUAAAAGGAAUCCUGAAGCCUUAAAAUUCUAGUCAACGUAGGAUAAGUCUCUCAGCUGCAGAGGACAAAUCAUUACCAAAAAUGUUCUCUUUAGAAUCCGAUUCAACAAUAAUUAUGUGCAAGCCCAGAGAAUGAGCAAAUUCACAUCCAAACAAAAUGGCAAGAGCUUCUGCCACAACAACACACGGAGCAGAAAUCAUCAGUUUCCACACCCCAACAAACCUUCCAUCAGUGCAUCUGGCCACAAUCCCCACACAGCCCUCAGCCGAAGUAACAUCCCAGCUCGCAUCAACAUUGAGCUUGGUAAACAUGGAACAGGGCAGAGAUCAACGAACCAAACCCAAAGGGGAAACCUGCUGAGGUAGAAAGUUCCUCAAAGGUGGAUAAGAAGCCUUCAAAAAAGUUGUUGUCGAAGAGGAGAUAGACAUAAUGACUUUUUGUGGGUUGAUAGCCGUUUGGUUAUAGAGAUUGUUGAUAAUCAAAAUCGGAGGUCUUGGAACAACGUAAAUCCGUCCGUGAAUCUGCAAGAAAUGUAAAUAACACAAGAGUUAUCGUGGUUUACCCCAAGGCUUGGGCUACGUCCACACUGAUUGUAUUUCUCUGACUGUAUGUAUGGAUUACAAGGGUGAGGGGGAGUCCCCCCAGAGAAAGAGAGUGUUAUUGUGUUUGUGAGGGUAUUGCCCUCUGUUGGGUUCACUAAGUCCCCUUUGUGAAAGGAGAAAAGUCCCUUUUUAUAGAAUAAGGGGCUCCUCCUUUUACAUAAUCAUAUGGGCUGGGUAAUGAGGCCAAAUGUAUCAAAGUCUGAGGCCCAAUAUGUGUGGUACCAACAGUAGUCCCCCAAGUUUUCAGUCAAGAGAGUCUUUUGGCUGGAGACUUCAAAUCCAAUCCAUGUAUGGGCCGAAGUGGCUAGAUGCCUUGAACCAGUACUCAACCCAAGGCAAUGCUCAACAUAAAGCAAUAUUCGGCUAGAGGUAUCACACGUUACGAGAUUGCUCGGUUGGAGGCGAUGCUCGUUGUGAGGCUGCUCGGCUAAAGGCUAUACGCGACGAGGCAUUUGCUCGGUUGGAGGCGAUGCUAAUUGCGAGACGGCUUGCUAGAGGCUAUGUUCGCUGCGAGACGGCUCGGUUCGUGGUACUCCUCAUUGCAAGUAUCUAUUUUAUGUCGACAUGCACUCAGUAUGAGUUAAUUCUCGACAUGACUCGGGUCCGCUUGUCGGGUUCGCAUAUUGGGUCUAUGUGUCGGAUCCGUGGAUCGAGUCCGCAAGUCGAGUCUUUGAGUUGGGGUCAUAUGUAUGGUCAUUGAUUUGGGGCUAUCUAUAGGGUUAUCGAGUUGGGACUAUCUGUAAGGUCAUCGAGUUGGGUCCGGGCACAUAAGUGUCCCAAUAAGCGAAUGUCCGUGCAAGUGGGUGUCCGGUCAGACAAGAGAUCACCAUGAGCACAUGGCUCAUCAAUCUAUAAGUUGGUAGAUUUCGUUAAUCAGCAAUAAUGUUGAUCAGUGGACCUAGUUGCUCAAUAAUUCCUAACAAUAAAUGACAGUAUAAGUACGACCGUAUAAUGAAUAAAUCAAAUUGACAAAGUUUGUCAAGGCAAAAUAUUGUACUAUGUGCCUUCUAUACAUAAAUAAUUUAUUCAGUCGUGUGGUAAAUAAUUUGUAUCAUAUAUCAACAAUAUAUUAGGUAUUGCCUAAAUGUGUGUGUAUAUAUAUAUAUAUAUAUAUAAUCAUAUGUUGUUUAAUAAAUCAUAUGUUGUAUAAAUCAAUAACGUGGUAUAAAUAAUGUGAUAUCAGAAAUAAUAUUAUUUAAUCAUAAGUCAUCAUAACAUAAAAAAUAAUAGGAUAUUAAAUAAACAAUGAUAUUCGGAAAACAUUAUGAUGUGAAAAGUAAAGCUCUUUUUUCUUUUUCUUUUUCCUUUUGUCCCUUCAUGAUGAAGGUUUUAUGGCACUAUCAUAUAUAUAUAUAUAUAUAUAUAUAUAUAUAUAUAUAUAUAUAUAUGUGUGUGUGUGUGUGUGUGUGUGUGUAUGUAUAUACAUAUAUUUAUCAUGAGGUGCCGCAUUAUAUGCACAUAUCACGAAAGCAAAUAAUAUAUAGCUAAAUGUGCACUAAAAUAUAAAUUUGAUAGAAAUGAUGUGGUCUCCUCAAAGAAUAUGCAUACUGUAAAGCAUCCCCAACACAAAAUAAUAAUAAACUAUUUAAAUAAACAAAUGAUAAGUUGGAGAAAAGUAAGAGGAUCUUCCUCCUUAGAAAUUAUAAGUUGCUUUCAUUUGGGAUCCUCAUCUUCUCCAAUUGGGUAUAUAUAUAUAUAUAUAUAUAUAUAUAUAUAUAUAUUUUAACAAAGGGAUAGUGGGUAAACAUUAUACCAUGUACCCUUUUUCUUUCUGCCAUGAAUGAUUACAGAUAUAACACUAAAAUAUUGAAAACAUGAGUGAUUAAAGAUAAGUAGCAGAACAUCAUAGAAUGCAUGUGAUGAUAAAAAAUAAUUAAAGGUAAAUAAUAAUAAAAUAAUAAUAAGGAACCCUUAUCUUCCUCCUGGGUCUUCCAGCUUUCUCAGAAAGUGGAAAGUGGACAUGGUGGUAUUCACAGGAGGUGGGAUCCCUGUGUCUGGAAUGAUUAAAGAUAGAUAAGUGUGAUAGAAAUGAUUGCCUUCGCUGCUUUUAGUGAAGGCUUUUUCAACAAAGUGGGAAAAUGCACUCCCCCUCCUAAAAUACAGACACCUUCCGUCGCACAGCACCAACACCGAGUCCAGUUCUUAUAGGCGAUGCUGAGCAGGUUGUGCUCCUCCACCGUCAGCUCGGUCCCGGCGGCGAUGGAGCCGACAACAAGCUUAUCCAUGAAGCUCAUCAUCUCUUCGUACCGCUCGGCCUGCUCGGCGAGUUUUGCCAGGUACACGUACUGUUCUCUGCUGAGGUUUUCAGGGACAGCAGAAGCCAUUGAAGCAGGCGAAUCAAGCGUUCUGCAUCCUCCCCGACAUGGGCACGAACGACAUCGCGGCCUGUGGAAGGAUCAUAGAUGGCAAGGUUGACAUAGGAAUAAGUGGACUGAAAGAGGCCGCAGACCAAAGGCAGACAGAGUCAGGGGCCUUCCAUGUCUUGAGAAUGCAGUAGAUGUCAACGAGGUGUUCAAGGUGUUGUGCUUGUGCCAGCAAUUGCCAACUCAAACUGAGCGCAGCACGGCCACCAGAGAAGGCAUAUUUUUGUCAACAGACUCCAGCUCACCUCGGAGGAAGAGGCAAGUCGAGUUCAAGAGGCUUUGGAGGUAGGUGCCACCAUGGCUGCUCUCCAACGACGGUGUUGGUGUCUUGGAUGGCAUUGAUUUGAUUAAUUAUAGCUGGCUGGCGGUGUUUGGUUUUUUGUACCUAAAAUCUAAGUAGUAAACUCAAAUAUAAGAGAGAGAGAGGGUAUAAAGAGACUGUGACUGUGACUGUUUUUUUUUUUAUUUCUUUUUGUUUUGGUUUUUGGGUUUCUGCAGAUUCACGAUAGAUAUUGUGGUGAGGUUUCACGGUGGUGAGAUAAAAAAAUGAAAGUCGUUUCCCACAAAUUGCACCAAAUGUUGAUGCACAAAACCGGAGGUCUUGGAACAACGUAAAUCCGACCGUGAAUAUGCAAGAAAUGUAAAUAACACAAGAGUUAUCGUGGUUCACCCUAAGGUUUGGGCUACGUCCACACUGAUUGUAUUUCUCUAACUGUAUGUAUGGAUUACAAGGGUGAAAGGGAGUCCCCCAGAAAAAGAUAGUGUUGUUGUAUUUGUGAGGGUAUUGCCCUCUGUUGGGUUCAAUAAGGGGCUCCUCCUUUUACAUAAUCAUAUGGGCUAGGUAAUGAGGCCCAAUGUAUCAAAGUAUGAGACCCAAUAUGUGUGGUACUGUUGAUCCUAAAAACUACAAAGCUUACGUAGCGCGCAGGCCGAGUAAUCUAUAAGCUAACUACGUCAUUCGAUGAAUGCGGGGCGUGCCAACUCGUUGCCCGAGCUUGACCGAGGAGUAAAUUUGUUGAUGUUGCGUUGGGUACGCGGCUGACUUCUGCGUCUUGCGAUUGCGACCGAAGAAGGAACACGUCUCGGCCUCUUGGGUUCUCGAACCUGAAGACAAGGCUACUAUUCUUACAAAGUUCACGAAUCGUCGUCGUUGGAUUCGGUCACAGUGAUGGUAUUCGUCAGAGUAAACUCACGCCGAAUCGACACCAAAGUGUAAGAGCACAAAUACUCGAAGCAGAUAUGAGUCUUAAUAAUGAACGUGGUUCGACCGUCUGAACGUCGAACUCUAAAUCCUACUUGAGAGUAUCCAAUCAUCAAAUAACUCGGCGUACAAUGUGCUGAGCUCGGUGGGCUGUAACACCUCGCUUCGUCGAAAAGGUUAACGAGAUGACCUCAAUCAAUAAGGAUUCAGAAAUCAUUCUCAACCGAGACUUGGAUAGGUAACCAACCGUCUUCGUCGUAGUGCUGUUGAUGCCAACAGAAGAUACUACGAGAUCGACUGAUUCUACGGCGACAGAGCUAUCUAUGUCGACCGAAGAUAUCAUUGGUUGCUUUCACAGUGUUGUUGAUGCCAACGGAAGAUGUGUCAGCGAAAAGAGAAAAUAAAAAAAAAUCUCAAGUUGUUGAGAGAGUUUGCGCAUGGCAGUUGUGUGUUGAAUUGGAAAGGGCUCGAACGAUGCACAGCCUCCUCUAUUUAUAGCACCGAAUACCUUCAAGGUCGAGUUAAAAACCUACCAAGAUUAGGACUUCUUCUCCUAAUCGAACUCCAACUCGACCAGUCUUUUUUUUCACUAUACUUUUGAACCCAGUCCUAUAUUGAGCCGGAUUCACUUCCAGGUUGUUAAUCUCGUCGAAACUCCUCAUUGCACCAGGAUUCGACUCGUCUUGCAGCAUGACUUAACCUACCCAGGUUUGGAAGCCCACGAACCAAACAAUCCAUGGUAACUUUGUCGUAUGGCCUUCCGGGCAGAGAAUAAUUCUAUACUCGGUCCAAACUGAUAUUUUGGGCCCAAACAGGUACCAACAGAGAUAAUUACACCGAGCCUUCCAAAUAAACCAACAAGUGAAGGCAACAUAAGACAAUGACCAAAUAGUUGCAUCCUUAGAUCCUAAAGGUGAAUUUAAAAAAAAGAAAACCAGUUCGCCAACAUCGAGAAACCAGUUUUAUCCACCACGUAAUAAACAGUCAAUAUUAAGACCAACUCCAAUGGUGGGCUAAAAGCUAAAUUUCCCCAUUUAUUCCCCUUCCCAAACACCACCCAACCCAUGCUAAAAUAUCGAGCUAAAAGCCAAAUGCCAAAGCUAGGCCAAAUUCCCCCAUAUGCGAGUGGACUUGCUAGCACUUGGGCCAGUCUCGGCCCGCCCACGCUCCAACGCACCCCAUGCGGUUGGCUUGCAAGGGUUUCCCGACAGGGGUGAGCCCCGCUGUCAGCUGUGUGUCGGCCAACAUUAUCAUCCUAACAACUAUAGUUUUAAUCCAAGGGCUGGGCUCAGUGGCGGAUCUACAGAGGGACCUGGGAGGUCCCAGGACCCUCCGGCAAUCCUAAAAUGCUACUAUAAAUUUUCUGGGGGACCCCUCAAAGCAGGAUCUGUGCUGUCAUGUGCUGCAGGUUGCAGCUUGCAAUGGAGAAGAAGACAGGGGGAAGAAAAGAAGACAGGGGGAAGAAGAAAGAACAGGGCCUAAAGGCCUUUUAAAAAAUUGGUCCAAAACGCAGUGUUUUGGCCAAUUUGUUUAAAUUGUUUUUUUUUUUUUUUUUAAAACCCAACCGUUUGUCCAUGAUUCCCGAGACCCUUUAACGCCUAGCCCACAUGAUGGGCCAUCCUGAGUCACUCUUCCUUCCCCACCCCCCAGUUCCUGCUUUUCCAUUCCCCCUAAUCCCCAUCUUUCUUAUAUUCACCCAAAACCAAAACCCUAAAUUUCUAAUCCCACCCAAUCCCAUAUUAUAAUUAUAUUACUCCAAUAUUAUACCUCCACUUGUUUCAAUUCUCCAAGCCACCACUAUUUGGUUCAAAAUUCAAGUAAGUUUUUUGGUAUUAAUCUAAUCUCAAUUAAAUUAUAUUAGAUAUUGGUGGAGAUUUUUAGUCUAUUAUUGAUAUGAUUGUUGAUAUGUUUUAUGUUUGUAUACUCAUUUUAUCAUUGAAAUUUAGAUGGAUUUUUUGUUUAUUGGUUGAUUGGUAUAUGUUUUGUGUUUUUGGUUAAAUGUGUAGUUUAGAAAUAAGAAAUAUGGAAAGAUUUUUCAAGCCAAAGCCAAUAGCACUAUCUACUUGUUCGGGUAGUUUGAGCUCAAGACAAAAUGAGCGUGACAUUGAUUUUAAUAGUCUUGAGAGAGACUUGGGAAAAAGAAUUCGAAUGAAGGACUAUCCUUCUAAUAUUCAAGAUGAGGUCCGAAUAGCAUAUUUGCAAAUGGGACCUUGUAGGCCUACAAAGUAUGAGUUCCCAUACACUUUGCAUGCAAAGAAAAAGCAACGAUUUGUUGUUUCGUGGUUUGAAGAAUAUGAUUGGUUGGAGUAUAGUAUAUCUAAAGAUGCGGCAUUUUGUCUUCAUUGCUAUCUCUUUAAAAUCAACUUUUCACAAUUAGGAAGCGAUGCCUUCACUGGGGUAGGCUUUAAGAAAUGGAAGAAUGCAAGAGAAUGUUUUGACAAGCAUGUUGGUCCUAUUGGUAGUUUCCAUAAUAAAGCUAGAGAAGCGGCUAGUUAUUUAAUGAACCAAAAGACACAUAUUGAAGCAGUUGUGAUCAAAUAGUCAGAAGAAGAGUGUAUGAAAUAUCGUCUUUAUUUGAAUGCAUCAAUAGAUUGCACUAGUUCUUGUUGCGACAAGUCCGUCCUUUUUGUGGCCACGAUGAAAGUGACACUUCGAAUAAUAGGGGGAAUUAUUUAGAACUCUUGCAAUUCCUUGCGGAUCAUGAUGAGAAAAUAAAGGAAGUUGUGUUGGAAAAUGCUCCGAGAAAUCUCAACCUAAUAGCUCAUUCAAUUCAAAAAGAUAUUGUCAAUUCAUGUGCCUUCGAAACUAUUAAGGCUAUUAUGAAAGAAGUGAAAGAAAGUAAAUUCUUUUAUAUAAUGGUAUGAAUCACGUGAUAUUUCAACAAAGGAGCAAAUGGUAGUGAUUUUGCGUUAUGUGGACAACAAAGGUCAAGUAAUUGAAAGGUUCGUGGGAGUCAAACAUGUUACUGAAACAACUUCAAGUAAACUAAAGGAGUCCAUUGAUGAGUUCUUGAAACUACAUGAUUUGAGCUACUCCAACCUACGAAGUCAAGGUUAUGAUUGAGCGAGUAAUAUGAGAGGUGAGUUCAAUGGCCUUAAAAAAAAAAUUUGGAUGAAGAAAGUUGUGCAUUCUAUGUUCAUUGUUUUGCUCAUCAACUACAAUUAGCUUUUGUUGCUGUAGCAAAGAAAAACUCCGAUGUUGGCGCUUUUUUCACAUUGACUAAUAAUUUGGUGAAUGUUGUUGGAUGCUCAUGUAAGCGUCAUGAUGCACUUAGAGAGAAACAACAAGAAAAUCUCAUGAAAGCUAUUGAAAAUGAUUGUCUUGAAACGGGGCAAGGGUUAAAUCAAGAAACUAGUCUCAAACGUGCUGGGAAUACACGGUGGAAUUCACAUUAUGGUGCUUUGAUUAGUUUGAUUACAAUGUUCUCAUCUGUGGUGGAUGUGCUUGACAUGAUUGUUGAAGAUUGCUACAAUGAUAGUGCUGGUGAAGCAAAAGGUUAUUAAAAGAUUUACAAUCUUUUGAGUUUGUGUUCCUCCUCUUUUUGAUGAAAUCCAUAUUAGGAGUUACAAAUGAUUUGUCACAAGCAUUACAAAAAAAGAAGAUCAAGAGAUUGUGAAUGCAAUGGCUUUAGUCAAGACAUGUAAAGAACAACUACGUUGCAUGAGGAAUGAUGAAAAUUUUGAUCUUUUGGUUGAUAAAGUAUCAUCUUUUUGUGUUGAACAUGAAAUUGAGAUGCCUAAUAUGGAUGAUUUAUAUGUCAUUCAAGGGAAGUCAUUGCGUAAGGCUCCAAGAAAGACCAAUCGUCAUCAUUACAAAGUGGAGCUCUUUUUUGAGGUCAUUGAUUUCCAACUUACAGAAUUAGAUGAUCGCUUCACUGAAGGUAAUACCGAAUUGCUUAUUUGCUUGGCAUGUUUGAGUCUGAAUGAUUCAUUUGUAGCUUUUGAUAAAGAGAAGCUUGUUCGCCUUGCUCAGAUGUAUCCUAAAGAUUUCAUGGAUCGAGAUAAAUUGGCACUUCAAGAUCAACUUGAUAUUUACAUUCAUUUUGUGCGUUCUGAUAAUGAUUUUUCUCAAUUGCGGGGGAUUAAUGAGCUUGCUAAGAAAAUGGUGGAGAAAGGGUUGCAUCGAACGUUUGCAUAUGUAUAUUUGCUUGUUCAGUUGGCUUUGAUUUUACCGGUUGCAACCGCUUCAGUGGAAAGGGCAUUUUCCGCUAUGAAUAUCAUUAAGGGUCCAUUUCGCAACAAAAUGGGAGAUCAAUGGUUGAGUGACAGCUUAAUUGUUUACAUUGAGAAAUAUGUUUUUUCAUGUAUUGGUAAUGAAGCUAUCAUGGAACAUUUUCAGACUAUGAAACCUCAUCGUGGACGCUUGAAUUAGGAUUUUAUAGCUUGUAAUGUUGUUUUGCACAUGAUUUUUGAAUGAAAUGUAUUAUAUUUAACUUUUCAAUGUUAUUUUUGUCUAUAAAUUUUUUGACCUUUAUUAUUAGGAUCCCCCAAGUUUAAAAUCCUGGAUCCGCCACUGGCUGGGCUUUAAGGACCGUUGGUUGAUCCAACGGUCCAUAUUCAAAUUUAAUUUUUUUAGAAUAUGUUAUUUUAAAAUACAUUGAAUCCAAUGGCUGAUAUUGAAUAUAAUCAAAUCUAACGGUAAAAAAAAGAUCUAAUGGCCCAAAUUUAAAUUUAACGGCUAAAAUAAUUAAAAAAAUUAUUUAACUCAAAAUUCACCAAAAAACUCUAUAAAUACCUAUGUAUUUGUUCAAACAUCCACCCAAAACUCAAUUUUCUCCUACAAUUCUACCAAUUUAUCUUUCUACCAUUUAUUUCCAUUUCCAAAUUGUUCAACAUGGCAAUAGAGCAUAUUAGAGGUCGUAAUUGAACAUGUGAGGAAGAUGUUGCUUUAUGUUUGGCAUGAGUUUCUGUUAGCGAAGAUGGUGCAGUUGACACAAAUCCAAAUAAGAAGGUUUUGUGGUAUAAAAUCAUUGCAAAGUUUCAAGAAAACUGCAAUUGCGGCGGGCGGGAUGGUAGUGGUGUUUAUGAUCAGUGAAAGACUAUCAACAAAGCAUGCACUUUAUGGAAGGGAAGCAUUGAGAUAGCCGUGAUUGGCAUGGUUAGUGGAAAGAGCGCCACAUAAAUUAUGAGUUUUGUUCUUGAUAUUUUAUUUGUCACGUACAUAAUAUUAUUUUGCAACUAAUUAUUUUUAUGUAUUUUUUGCAUAGGGUGACAAAGCAAUGGAAAUUUACAAGACAAGAGUAACACUAAAAAAUCAAGUUUUUAAGUUGCAACAUGCUUGAGACGUCCUCAAGGAUUGUCCGAGGUGGGGAACCGAUGCAGACCAAUAAUGGGGAAGAUUAUUUCAACAUGAAGCCACACAGACAAAUGCCGGAGAUGAAGGUGUCGAUGAAAUGACCCCAUCUCCUUUUUUUGCAAGGCCCCCGAGAAGAGAUAAGCAAAAGGAAGCAAAGAGAAAAGGGAAGUCGCAAGAUUCGAUGAGUGGACACUUUGCUACCGGAAUUGCAAAAUUGAACGAAACUCAUAGCGCUUGCCAAGAAGAAACGGGCCAAAUGCGUUUGCAAAUGAAGGAAAUCUCAAAUAGGGAGUAAGAUAGAUUUGAAAUUAAUUUCAUGAUGGAAGACCUCAGUAAAUACAUUCCAGAGAGGAAGAAGUUCUUACGUGGUAAGCAAAAGAAAAUUUUACGAAAGUCUGCUUCAAGGAGUAUAUUUCAAAAUGAUGAAUCCUCUGAACCUUAUAUCCCAAGUCCUGUACGAAGUCCAUCACAAGUGAAGAUGGUGGAUAUGAUUAUUAAGUUUAUGUAGUGUAUGAAUUAUGUGUUUUAUUAAUUAAGUUUAUGUAGUUCAUUAAUUAUGUGGUUUAUGAAUUAUCGGUUGUAUUAAGUUUAUCUGGUUUAUGUACUUUAUUAAAUUUAUGUCUUAUUAAUUAUUGUUUCUAUUAAUCUAGAUGCCUUCAAUAAUUAUUGUACUUAUUAUUCCACACUUUGAUGUAUAAUAAAUGCUUUCAAUAAUUCAAUCUCCAUUCAAUAAUUUAUCCAACGUACUAAACAAAAUACUUUGCACAAUAAGACACUUAAAUUUAUUAUUAGAAAAUAACAACAUAGUACACUUAAAAUUAUUACAUAAAUGCUUAACCAACAUCAUCAAUGUUCACCUUCUCAUCAGUUGAGUCUGUAGAGCACCCAUUAGCUAGCAUGCAAAAAGCAGAUGUGAGCUUCUGAUGAAGUGAUAGACAUUGUCAGCUUGCGACAUCUAUCAUACUUGCAAAGUAGUGGUCAUGAAAGUUCAGCUUCAGCGUCGAACAAUUCUGCAUCCUCAAUCUCAAUCCUUGCUUGGUUUUGUGCCAUAUGCAUUGCCAUGCUACCCCUUAUUCUAUCACCCAUUGAAAGUUGAAAGAUUGGUGAAUAUAGAGGAUUUUUAGGAACAAAAAUUCAUUGAAAAUUGAAAGAUUGGUGAAUAUAUAGGAUGAUUGAAGGUUGAAAGGUUGUAUGAUCAACUAAUAUUGGACGUAUGUUUAUAUAGAGGAUGAUUGAUGAAAGUUGAACGGUUGGUGAAAGUUGAAAAUUUGGUGUUGAACAGUUGGUGAAUUGAAAAUUUGGUGUUGAACGGUUGGUGAAUUGAAAGUUAGCCUAGGGUUGAAAGAUUGGUGAAAGUUGAAGGCUUGCUUUAUGGAAAAUUUAGUGAUUUUUUAAUAUUUAUCGGAAUUUAAAUAUUUUUAUAUUAAAAUGUUCAUAAAAUUAAUUUACGAUAGUCUAUAUAUUUAUUUAUUUUUUAAAAUUUAACUGAAGAAAAAAAUAGCCUAAGUUCAUUAUUUAAUAAUUAUGAGCUAAAAUUUUAGGUCAGAAGGGUUUGAGCAGAAAAGUUGUUUCUGAGCUAAAAAUGUUGGCUUUUAACCCAACCAUUGGAGUUGAUCUAAUAGGGUAACCCUUGAACUAUUUUGUAUUGACCAAUUUGCACCCUACCUUUAAGAUUUUGAAUUUCUGACCACUUUUUUUUUUGUUGAUUUCUUUUUAAUUUCUAAACAAAAACAAAUGAAUGAGUGAAAAUUGUUAAUUUAGAUUUUGAUAUAAUCAUGGAGUGCAACACACUUAUUUGGGUUGGUUGUGUCAUCUUUGCUUGAUCUUUCUUUUAUUUCCUUCUAUUUUGAAUCAAUAUAAGUGGAGAAAUCAAGCAUUUUGCUUUGAAGAAUAAUAUCGAAAAAAAUCUCAAGAAUGGCAAGGAUAAUUUUCUACUAUAUCGGGAAAGUAUCAAGGAAAAAAAGGUAAUUUUCAGCUAUGAUGAGAAAAUCUCAAAAGUAUGAGAGGAUCCGAAUUUUAAUUUGAUAACAAAACUGAAGUUUAAUAUUCUAUUUUAAACUAAUCUAAAUUAUAAUAUGGAUAUUUAAAUUAAAAAAUAUAUUCGCUUCGGCCAAUGCAACUACCACUGAUCUAAAAAAGAAGUAAUUUUGGUUUCCUUCUUUUGGGUAAUGCAAAGACCCAAAAUUAGAAUCAUAAUACAAAAAAAUAAAUAUGCAUUUAUUCCCGAAAUUAGAAAAAAAAAAAGUAAUUAUUAAUCAAAUUUCAUGUUCAUGUGGGUGAACCCGUGGCAAGUGGCAGCAUAAAAUCCAUUUGAAUUUGAGGAAUUUAAUUUAAAUUAAUAAUGAAGUAAUCAACUUUGCACUUCAAUCGCUCUCCAAAUUCGCGGGAACACCAUGGCAGCCGCCGCUCAGGGCAGCUCUCUUCUCUGCUCCUGCCGCAGCAGACCAUGCACAACCAGAACAACCCUAUCCCCUUUCGGUCCCUAUCCCUUUCUCUCUCCUCUCACCCCCAUUGGCGCAAGCUCCAAACAGUUGAAGCUUUCGAAUUCCAGGUUCUCUUUCUCCUCUAUCUCUAUAUAGGGUUUCUAGGUGAAUUUGAGAAAUGAAUUGUCAAUUAAUUUACAUAUUUGCAGGACUGGUAGGGUUGUUUCUGCUGUGGUUUCUGAGGAGAACGCAAUUCAAUCAAGUUUCUCUGGCACCGAUGGGUUCAAGCUCACUUAUUUGGAGGUGGGUUUUCAAUUUUCUUAUUGGUACUUCUUAAAUUUGAUUACUUUUGGGGAUUUUUUUUUACUUGAAUAAAUGUUUACUUUUAGGGGAAUAGUUGGUUGUGGGAUGUGGGUGGGGUGAAAAUACUGGUGGAUCCAAUCUUGGUGGGUAAUUUGGAUUUUGGAAUCCCCUGGCUUUAUGAUGCUGCGAAGAAGUUUUUGAAGAAUUUCCAGGUACUCCUUUAGCUUCGAAAUCAAUUUUUUGAAGCAAAUUUGCCUUCGAUUUUCCUUUUUAAUUACGCAUAUGUUGCCAUUAUUUUGUAGAAUGUUGUGAAGUUGAUAGGCCUGUUUUGAUUGGGUUUGCAACUUUAGUGCAGUUAAGUGAUAUUCCAGAAGUUGAUUGCUUGCUUAUUACACAAAGUCUUGAUGAUCACUGCCAUUUGAAGACAUUAAAGCCCCUCUCCGAAAAGUACCCGAAUCUUAGAGUAAUAGCUACACCAAAUGCUAAGGCCUUGUUGGAUCCCCUUUUCAGCAAUGUGAGUUUGAAACUAAUGUUUUGUUUAAGGCUGCAGCUUCUUGAAUGUUAAUUUUGUUUUUAUUUUAAAUUUUUUAAUAUACGCUGUUUAUCCAGGUUAGGCAUGAACAAUCUCUACAGUCACCACCAAAGAAACAACGAUGCACUUAAAUAAGCAAUGCCUUGUUUCUUAAAAACUAGUGUAGUUUUUAUAAUUGGGGUAUAUAAUCCGGCUGCUGUGUUGGGUUUAUUGUGCAUCUGUUCCCUCUUAAUUUUUGGUUAAUACAUGUGCUACUAAGAUGGUGGACAUUACUACACAAAUUCUAUUCCUAAAUUUUACCUUUCGCAACAACUGAAGUUACUGAACCUUACUGUCAUUACUUCAACUUGGCUCAAUUGUUCCUGAAAAUUGCAAUGCUGGCAUGCAAGAUAUUCCCAAAGCCGUAGAUGAAGUCGCAUUCCGUGUUUCUAUUUGAGAUUUACACUAAUUUUGUUUAGGUCACAUAUCUAGAACCUGGCCAGAGCUCCAUUAUUGAAGCAGGAAAUGGUUCUACAGUCAAAGUUCAGGCCACUGCAGGGCCAGUUCUAGGUCCUCCUUGGCAGCGCCCCGAAAAUGGGUAAGGUGUCAUUUUUCUUAUUGCGAUUGUAACACUAGUGAAUUCCAUUGGCAAGGAAUGAAAUAAAAAGGAAUGAAGUUAAUGGAAAAUUCUUCUUGAUUGAUUGAAUUAAUAAUUACAACAGAGAGAGCAUAUAAAGCUUUUGCUAAUUACAAUGAAGUCCCUAACCAUCUUUACUAAUUACAAUUACAAGUGUAAACAAACUUCUUAAUGACUGAACUUAAAUUGUUGACUGUAUUGGAUGGCUUGGCUUGUAGAUUUUCCUCUUUAUGAAACAGUUCCUUGUAAUAUGUUCUUUAGUCUUUGGUUAAAUGGAUAUUAACGAGAUGUUAUAAUAUGUGGACCAGAUAUCUUGUCAUUUAUCCAGAAGGGAAAUCUACACUUUACUAUGAACCCCAUUGUGUAUACAAUACAAGUUCACUCGAGAAGGAAAGAGCUAACAUUAUUAUCACACCGGUCAUAAAGCAGCUUCUGCCUAAAUUUACCUUGGUCUCUGGACAAGAAGAUGCAGUUCGACUUGCAAAGCUGCUGAAUGCCAAGUACAGAUUCUUUAUACCUUAAUACUAACAUAUACAUAAAGAUGGUUUUACUAGACACAUAUCAACGUCUUUGUUUUACAUUUUGUAGGUUCAUUGUCCCGAUGACAAAUGGGGACUUGGAUGCCAAGGGGCUUCUUGCUAGUUUAGUUUCGGCUGAAGGAACAAUCGAAUCAUUCAAGGUUGUUUUCUUCUUCUCACGGUUUUUUCUACGGUGAAGUAUUAAGAUUUCUUUGUGCAAUAUUAUCACAAUUGAAGUUGUGGUUAUUAAAUGCAGGAACUUUUGUCCAAGGAAUUACCAGAUGCACAGGUACUGCAGCCUACUCCUGGUGUGCCGCUAGAAAUCCCGCUACCUCCAAAUCUUCCGUAAUAUGUUUUCUGCAGAAGAUAUACAGACACUGUAGCUCACUGAAAAUAUGUACACAUCUCAUCAAACUCGUAAUUUGUAAAUGUCUGUUUAUUUUAUUGAUACCAUUUGUUCACUUUUAAUCUGUAUUCAAAAGCAACUCCAAGUAGGCUUGGCCUCUGAGUUACAUAUGAGAAGCUGGUUCACUUGAACAAUAUUCCAUUUUGGAAUAGUUAUUGGGACAUCGGAGGCACAAAUAUUUGUAAGGCCCACUUAGCUAGUGGUAGAGGCAUGCCACUUAAUAAAAUGACAGACAUGCUUUCCAAUUAGCUAUUCCGUUUAGUAAAUUUUUUUUUUUUUCAAUAUUGAAGGGAGGGUUUCUUUAGUUCACAUUAAAAGUACAAAUUUAAGUUACAUAUCUGAGUAAAAGCCGUUAAAUUAUUUAACUUAGUGCUGGUUUGAGAAUGAUGUGUUUUGAAAAAAAACUGAUUCUGUUGUGCUGUGAGAAUAAACAGCUGUGAAAUAAAACUAUAGAGUGUUUGGUAAAUUUUUUUGUAAAAGUGUUUAUGGAAAAAAAAAACGGUAUUAUAAUGUUUGGUAAAUUUUUAUGUAAAACAGCUGUGAUUAUAUGAAAUAACAAAAAAACGGCAUCGAGUAGUUUCUCCCACUACUGAACUAGACUUUCCAAAAACCAAAAACAUCUCUCUAGACGUCUCCCACACAACCCCAAUUUUCUCAGUUUUUAUAUUUUUUGCUCCGUCUUCUUCUUUUUUAUUUUCUGCUCCGUCUCUUCUUUUUUAUUUUCUGCUCCAUUCCUCAAUCUCUCUCGCAUGUCAUUCCUCAAUCUCUCUCGCAUGUCAUCUGAUUUAAGGAGCUAAGAAAAUCUACUCGUAACCCUGCAGCUGCUGAAGAAAUCAAAGAUUUUGAGGGAAACCCAAAAUCCGAAAAGAGGGAAAGAAAUGAGAAAAAUGCAGAGAACCUGGUUUGGGGUUGAAGACGUGGUUGGGGGAGAGAGGGAUUCUCCCGCAAAUCGCAGUCUCCAUGAAUCGAUCUUUCUUUUUUCUUGUGCUGCUGCUUCUGCUGCAAUGCGUCGUGCGAUUUUAUUUAUUUAGUUACAGGAAUUUUCUGUUUUGGUUUAAACAACCGAAAUAACAAGAAAAAGAUCGAACAACUGGUGGACUCCUGUGCUCUGUCUGGUGGGACUUCUGGUUUUCGCAAUCCAUAAGACGGCGUCGUCUUGACCCUACCAAGUACGAACACUGAAAAUAAUUUUUGUCAAAUUAUAAAUCCAAUUUCUUCACCAAAAUAAAUGAAUAAAUACAUAAAUAAAUCCAAUUUAAAAUGAAAAUCCGAAAUGAGCGGUGGGUUAGGCAUCUCCAAUGUACUAGUUCAGUUUCAUUAACGCAAUUUAUAGUUAAUGUAAUUUGGGUCUUGAAUUUUUAUUUUCAGUCAGUUUAUACUUUAUACUUAUAAAAAUAAGUUAAUGUGAGCAUUCUGUCGACUUGUUAAGAUUUUAUUUAUUUUAUGAAAUCCUAUAAGUUGACAAAAGACUUCACAAUGACUUAUUUUAUCAAGCACUAAACUUUAGGGGUGUGAUAUCCACACAUCAUUUUUUACUUCUCACACAUUCUUCUAAGUUUCGGCCGUUAGAUCGGGUGAAUUGAAAAAGAUCAAAGAGUAGACAUUAAUAAAGAGUGUGUGAGAAGUAAAAAGAAGUACGUGGAUAGCACACCCCAAAAUUUAUUGUAACUCUUGACUAUUAAAUUUUUGAUCGUACAUUCAACCCUCAAUUUAUUAUUAGUUUCAUGUAUAAGUUAUAACGGAACAUAUUAGAUUUUUCGCAAUUUUGACACUAGGUGAAAAUGCAGAGAGCAAAAAAACGUAACUGUCCUUUUUUAAGUUUUGCUCUCACGGCCACUUUCGUCUCUCACUUCAUCUGUGUCUGUAGGUCUCCCCCUUUGAACUCUUCUCGAUUAGUUAUUCAAAUUCCAGUUAUUUAACCAUGACCGUCAGGAAAAAAAAAAAAAAGAGGAUUUCCAAGUUAAAGAAAGCAGGAAAGAAGAAAGCUGCCGAUCCGUUUACGAAAUAUGAAGAAAGAUUGGUACGACAUCAAUGCCCCUCGUCUGUGGUUCUAUAACAACAACGUGGGUAAAACUCUGGUCUCCCGUACUCAGGGCACCAAGAGUGCUUCCGGAGCACUCAAACAUCGACUUUCGGAGGUCUCAUAAACUUUUGGGGGAUGAAUUUCACUAUGGACAAGCUGAGGUCCUUGGUAAGGAAAUGGCAGACUUUGAUGGAAGCUCACGUAGAUGUGAAGACGACAGACAAUUAUACUUUAAGGAUGUUCUGCAUUGGCUUCUCUAAGAGACGUCAAAAUUGGGUCGGUAAGCGCUUGAUAACAUUACACAUCAGAAAACACUUCAAGUUCAAUAUUUUAGAAGAAAAAACUAAAUUACCCUACUUAAUCUGCAUGCAACUUUUAGCACGAUUAAUGUGUUUCAGUAUGAAACUUAUAAUUGUUCGGGAUCUUUUUUUCUUUCUUUCUUCUAAUUUACUAAAUAGGUUAAGAAGACCUGCUACGCACCAGCCAGAUUAGGCGGAUCCGCUGCAAGAUGAGGGAGAUCAUGGUCGCGUGGGCGACAACAAGUGAUCUGAAUGACUUUGUCAAAAGGUUGAUGGCUGAAAGUAUAGGUAGAGAUAUUGAGAAGGAGAUGCUGAGCAUCUUUCCUUUACAAAAUGUGUUUAUCCAUAAAGUCAAGAUGUUGAAAGCACCCAAGUUUGAUCUUGACAAGCUGAUGUAUAUUCAUGGUUAUGAAGACCUUGGUGUCAAGGUUGAGAGCCCUGAUCAUCAAGAAGAAACUGCCCUGGAAUAAAACGUAGGACAGUGAUGUUUUGCUUUAAACUAAUCCCAACUGCGGGGAGGAGGAUUCGAACUCAAGUGCAUAAUAGAGCAUAACUAGUCUAGCGAAUGCAGCUAUGCCCAAGUUUAUAGAUAUCAUCGAAGGUUAAUUGUUGCCAGCAUUUUUUUUUAUUUUCUUCUACUUUAAAGUUGCUCGAAUUAUGUUUUGUGAAAUUUCUCUGAGGACAAAGAACCACUUAUUCAUUUCCCGCCAUUUAUGCGGUAUAUGAAUAUGAAUUUUUCAUGACAAUAUAUUAGAUAACACUACUCCAAAAGAGUAUUUUGACUUGAAAUUGCUUAUGGUAAAGCAAAUGCACAACCAGAACCUAGCAUUAAAAAGUAGAAACAAAUGAAAAUGAUACACGAGUUGCUUGGUACGUAGCUUGGCGUUAAAUAUGAUCCACUCUAAUUAAAAGACAGCAUGCUUGAUUAAUUCUUGAAGGAAGAGGAUGACAGAACACUAGUCCUUACUAGUUACUCCGCAACUUGGAUAAUACAUAAUUUUCGUCUGAUUAGUGGCAUAAUAAUCCGCUUAUAUAUCGUUAAUUACGUGUAAAAACGAUAUGUUGAUGCAUCAGCAAUGAUAUUACGAAAACCUCCAACUGUGGAAGCCAACAUGAUGAACACUCCGAUGAAUAUGCAAACCUGUAAACACACACAAUCCUCAUAAAUAAACUUUUUUGUAGCAUGAUGUAUCAAUUUGCGAUAUCGACAACAAGGAACAUUAGAUAUCUUUGGCUUACCCAGUUGACGAGCCAUUGAAUGCUGUAUCUCUUUGGUUUCUUAAUUCUCAGCCACAUUAUACAAGGAAGCUGUUGAAAAAAUGCUCACUUAGUUAAUUUCUUUCUGAUGAUGUAGUUCUGUAAUUUGUGCAAGAAACAAAUUAAGAAAUCAAAUAGAGUGAGAUAGGCUUACAAAGUAUGAAGUGGGGGCAAAACCAAAUCCACCAAAGAAACCAAGAAGGUCUCCAAAGAAAGGGAAGGUGACUCCAACAAAUAAUGUAAAUGCUGCAACAAUAUAGUGAUUAGGAACUUAAUUAGGGUUUAAUCAAGCAGAAAUGACAGAGAUACGGAGACGUAUGGGAAAUGGGAAUCUCACCAACAUAAGCUGAUCUCGUGAUUAGUCUAAGUGCAAUUCCAGGUGGGAAGUUCAUCUUUUUCACCAUCAUCCUCUCAAGCAUGUCAAAAACAGGCAUAGCAUAAACCUGCACACUUUUCAGUCACAUCCUUAAUUUAAUGUAGUUCUAAUAUUAAUGAGAAACACUCAAAGAAUCAAAGCAUAGAUAAAAGCCAUCUCCUAUCAACUGUUAAAGUCGGAGUCACUAAUGGUCGGAUCAGUUCCAAUUAUUUCUUUUCAAAAUAAUGUUUAAAGUGUGUGUUUUUACGAUAGAAAACACUUCUAAUCAUUAUCAUUUAUAUUAGAAGUGCUUUUGUUAUAAAUUUAAAAAAAAAAUUAGAUAAUUCCAAGUGUUUCCAAAACUUUUAUAAAAUAUAUUUGGAAGUGCUUUCUAGAAAAACACUCAAAAAUGCUUUUAAGUUUUUAUGUCAAACGUAAUCAAAAGCAUUUUUAGUUGUCUGCUUUUGUAACUGAGUGCAGAUUUAUACCUGGUAGCUGCCAAUGACAUGGACGACAACCAUUAGGUUAGCAGCAGCAAUGAGCCAUGUAGGUUUUUUAAGAUCUAUGAGCACGUUAUCAUCGACAUCUUGACCAAAGCCCAGUACCCGAUGAGGGCCACCGGGAAAUAGCAAAUUGCGUUGAUAAAGUAGGCUCCUAGAGCACCUUUCCACAUGGGAAUUCUCGACGGCUUCUCAGGCGUCGAUGGAAUUGUGGCUUGGAUUUCAAGCACCACUGCAUGCCCAGCAAAUGCAAACGAGAUUUGACCUAAUGCAUUGAAAACCCUAAACAUGUAAUCUGCAGGGCUUGUUUUCUUGUAUGCAUAGCUCACGUUUUCAACCUGACCUUUGCUUAAGCAACCUGCCCACGCUAUAGUUGAAUAACUGCAAAUUAACAACAAAUUCUAGUUAUUAAGAAAAAUUAUAUAUUAUUUGCCUUCUAAAGUUCUCUUGUUAGGUUUACGAGUAAAUCUUCCGUAGGGUUGUCCUACUAUUGGUAGAACUAGAGCAUGCAUCUCUAUCCAAAUUUUUCUCGAAUUUUAAAAGGAAAAUAUUCACAAAUAAAAUUAGAAGGCACUAAAACAAUAACAUAAAUAUUGUGCAACGUACUAGUGUAUUAUUUGUUUAGUAACUUUCUAGUUUUACUUUUAAUUUAAAAGUUCAUAAGUAGUUGUCACUUAUACGAAUAGUGGAAUAUAUGUGUUAAAAAAUUAAACUUUCUGCCACUUAUAUAAUAACAUGUGGUGUACCACUUGUGUUCCCGUCAUAAUGAAAAUUUUCUCCUUUAACUUGAGUUUGUGUAAAGUACGUAAAAAGGAAUUAAUUUCUGCACACUCCCUCUUCUUUUUUUUCUGUUUUUUUUUUAACAGGUUUUGUUUGGCCUAAAGCAAGUCUUCUAAAUCAGAUUUUCCUUCUCAUGGAAAGUGAAAAUUAAAAUUACUACCUUAGUGACAUGAUAGCUGCUGCUAGAGAAACACCAGCAACAGAGUUGAAAUUGGGGAGCUGGGAAAGAAAGAAAUGAAGGGAACCAAAGAUGACAAUCCAGUACGAUUGCUUGACUGGUGUGCAAUUGGCACAUGCCAUCUCCACAAAUUUCUUUAGACACUUUCCUCCGGUGACCAUGUACACUAUGUCACAACCAACCUGCACAAUCAUUUGUUGCGGAAGCACAAUCCAUGGCCCGAACUUUGGUCCGAAGGCGUGUCGGCCAAGGUCGAUGUAUCGGUCAAACCUAGUUCCCGGAACACAUUCAUGGAGCUGAAUCAUCUGCCACAUUGUGUUCAAGGUCAUGCACCAUGAUAUUACCAGCACCAUUGUCCCUGGACCCCUGAAAAUUAAAGGUAGAAAAAAGUAGGGCUUAUUAGUAUAUUAAUACAAGUACAACUCGUAUAUGUAUUAUUAUCAUGAGUUGGGGUGUUUUGUACCAUCCUAAGAAGGCCAUGGCAUACGGCAGGCUGAGUACACCGGCACCGAUCAUGGCGGUGACUGUGUGAAAGGUGGAGUACCACCAUUUUGCUCGGCGGGCGUUGUCCACCGGCUCCUCCUUCCAUUUGUCGUCUGAAACAACUUCCUGCCAUAGUUUCAAGGACAAGAACGAACAAACAGAAAAAUCAGAGUGGAAUUUGGAAAACGUCGUGUGAAUAAAGAGUGGUGAUGCUCACCUUUGGAGGAGGAGAAGUUGUAACCAUUUUUUUUCUCUUCUUUUGCGAUGAAGACAGAGAAACACUUUCAAUGUGGGAGUUGAUUGGUCGUCAUCAUGCUGUACGUAUAUAGUGGUUUCCUGGCCCGGAAUAUAGGCAGAAAUGUGGGAUAGUACAUUCCAAAACCCCACUCAUGCAUUUAUUUUUAGCUUUUUUUUUUUAACACAGGGACUUGUGCUUUUCCAGUUGAGUGAGAAAUUUUUAGUUGUGACGAAAACAUGAGUGGUACACCACGUGUUUUUAUGUAAGUGGUGGAAAAUUUUACUUUUUAAGUUAUUAACUUUUUAACACACAUAUCCCACUAUUUAUAUAAUGACACGUGGUGUAUCAUCCGUGUGACGGUCACAUUAAAAAAUCUCUCCAGUUGAGCAAUCGUGAAUCAUAUAGGAAAAAGCGGUAAAUAAUUUAGUAAAUUAAGAUGAUAUAACAAAGGGAAAGAGAUCCUUUCCGGAUCUCUUCCUUCACAGUCCAGGGAUCAAUUGAUCCAGAUCCUUGAAAUUUGAUCCACCGGUCAAAAAUUAUUAUAACUUUUAAAAGUUUUUACUAACUUUUUAUUUAUUUAUUUAUUUAUUUAUUUUUACUAACUUCUUUGUUUUUAGCCGUUAAAUCAAAUUUCAAGAGACCGGAUCACUUGAUCCUUAGGCUUUGAAGGGAGAGAUCCGGAGAUAUCUCUUUCCAUAACAAAACCCCUUGUAUGUACUUGGCAAACGAUGUUAAAGUUUUAAACCCUCCACUUAAAAUUAUCUAAAGUGACACGAGCUAAUAUUGCAAACAAGGUUUUACGAGACUUCACAUUUGUCAUACUAGCAAUUAUACACGUUUAUGGUGGCUAAAACUUUUUGGUGAGGAACCUCCAAAAUAUUUUUCGUCGCUGAAGAGGCUUUUUAUAUCUUUAGCGAUUGCUUAUGCAUAUCUAUUUCAUACUAGGAGUUUAUUUUAUUUAGGAGAAAAAUAAGGGAAAAAAAAUGGAGGCAACUGAUAUGAUCACCUGGCCAUGAAACUUUGAAAAAUAAAAAAUAGUAAAAUUAAUUUGUGUUUAAUUUUACUAUAUUGCCAGUGACUUUUAUGUUGGUUAUUUUUCUUUAUUUUGUUGGUAGGGCUAAUUUGAUCAUUUCAAUCUCUUUUGGUUGACAAAUAGAGUUUUGUUAAUAAAUAUUUUAGAUUAUGUGGUUGGAGAGAGGUAUGGAUUGGACUUUCUUAUUAAGUUAGUUUCUUACAUUGAUGAGACCAGUAUGAUAUACGAUCAUGAGACCUAAUACAAGAAAUUUUAUGUCAAAUGGCUCUAAAGAUAACAUGCAACACGUGAGUUUAUAUAUGAAAGAUAUGUUUCUUAAAACGGGCACAAACAAAUUUUUCUCCAAAAUUACUCAAGAUAACUAGGACUGUGGUUUGAUGAUAUACUCCACCCACUUUGAUGCUAUAUACAAAGGAAUCUAAGGACCCCAUUUUGAAAAGCAUUAUUCCAUUAAGCUCCCCAUUUUGACAAGCAUCAUUUCAUAAACCUCCCUUGUCAAUUUUUCUUUACACAAAAAGUUCUUAUGUGCAAUUAUUUAUUUCUAUCCCAAGUUUUGAACCAAUGAUUAAAGAGCUUAGUUGGUGGUGAAUGGAGCCACCUAAAUUGAAUGCGUUGGCAUUAUAAAGAGGGAAUAGUUUGAGGGGUUAAUGAUUAAAGAGCAAGUGAAGGAAUGCUCUUCGUGUAUGGGAGUCGCUGGUGGGGGCUCUUUUUCUUUCUUCUUUUCGAGUGUCCCCUGUGGCUUUGCUAUUUGCAUCCCCAAAAGCCAAUGACGAUUGACUGCUACCCACUUCUUACCACAAAAUAACAAGUAUUAUAUGAUUAUAUCUUGUUUAAUUAAUCUUACACUAAUUCAACAUCAUGCUUAUAUCAUACAACAUGAGUAAUGCUAUUCAUAUUAUGUUUUUAUACCACACUAGGUGGCAUCUGAUGUCAAUAGCCACAUCAUUUGAAAAAUUUGCAAAAUCCGAGGAAAUGAAGGAGAAAGACUUCUCUUAUACCACAAUCAUCAUUUAAUUAACUAGUUUUUCUUAAUUAUUAGUUUAUUAAAUAAUGAACUAAAUUUAAAAAUCUGAUCAAUUCAAAUAAUUUGGCUGUCCACAUCAAAUGCAAUCUAAGGUGGUAUGAAAAUGUGGUACAAAAACUUGGUAUGAAUAGCGUUACGACAAUUGUAGGUUUUAUGACGGUUUUUGUAGAAAUUUGUAAAACCGAUUAAAAACUGCAAGUUAGACACCCAUUAAACCCAUAACGUCCUCCAGAUAGCAAACGAACGAGGGGAGUUUAUAACAGAUGUUGCGAAGACUCGUUAUAGUAGUCAAGGACUAGAUGAAACUCCAAGCAGAUUGACUACCUCCAGACCUUAAAUCCUCAUCUUGAACAAAACCAGCACUUAAUUAAUAAGCAUAUUUAACAGUAAAGCAUCCAUUAGAAGAAGAACCCAAAUGCAGGAAUCACUUAUCGGGCAUAUCCCCUUUAACAUCAGUAGGGUUACUUGUUAGUCCGCCGUACGACAUCGGCACGAAGAACAUUCAAAAGCAUCACAAAUUUCUAUCGAACGCAAGUCAAGUAACUAGCCACAGUUUCAUAAUUUUCAUCUAAAAAGAUAGGCCUCUGAAACUGAUAAAUAAAAGUCCGAUCAUUAGGGGUUACAAUGGCUGAUAGUAAAGUUAUUUAUAUGCGAGUCCCCGAGUGUUUAUAACAAGUUGAAGCUCUUAUUUAACCCAUAAAGCCCCCUCCAGGCAUAUUAGGCCCUUGUGACGAAACCUGUCCCUGUGAAACUAAUUGCGACCGGCCUUGAACAUAAGCUUGAGUCAUCCCCGUCCCAACCAACUGUUGUUGUUGAUGCUGUUGAUGCUGUUGCUGCAAUUGCUGAAGCUGCGGCAGUUGCUGUUGUGAUUGAAGUUGUGAGAGCUGCUGCUGCGAGAGUUGCUGCUGUUGUUGAAUCUGAGGGUGCUGAUGUUGAAUCUGUGGAUGUUGUUGUUGAAUCUGAGGAUGCUGUUGUUGCUGACCGGGUACUUGCAUUUGUUGCUGCUGUUGCUGACCCGGUACUUGCAUUUGUUGCUGCUGUUGCUGACCGGGAACUUGCAUGUGUUGUUGCUGACCGCCUACUUGAAUUUGUUGCUGCUGUUGCUGACCAGGAACUUGCAUGUGUUGUUGCUGACCGCCUACUUGAAUUUGUUGCUGUUGUAGCUGUUGCAUUUGCUGCUGCUGCUGCUGCUGCUGCUGUUGCUGACCACCUACUUGUGGUUUAAACACAACCAUAUCCUGAACCGAUGGUAGAUUUAGCUUUAACAAAAACCAGGUUGUAAGAAGGUUACAAUGCCGAGCCACAAACUCAAUUUGGAGUACCACCACAGGCCUCCAUUUCAGAAAGAAGUUAAAACAGAAGUUGCAGGAUAUGCAGGGAACCUUCAGAACUAAAAGCACCUUAUACAGGCUAGAAAGGUCUUUAACGAUCCCCACAAAAUUUUCGCAAAAUAAAAGGUCCAUUUUCCAGGUUUCUUUUAGUAAUGAAGGUACCUCACAUAUUUGUUGUGGAUUUAGCUCAGAGUUGGUGGCUAUUACUUUAUAUUGGCAAAAAACUAAUAAUAAGGAAUUACAAUCCGCGGUAAUAAGAAUGGUCUAACUAAUAACAAGCUCACCCCUGGAAACAGCAUUCCAAUCAAGCGAUAUGCUUUGUCUGAAACAGAGAGCAGUAGUGUCUGAGAGGGCAAUUGGAUCACUGCACACUGAAAAAGUGGGAAAUCAGCUUUUUGAGAAGAAAAAAAAACAUAUCAGAAUAGUCCUCGGUUUCAUGUUCACAUUCAAAGGAAAACUAUUGCAGGUGGUCAAAUAAAAUAGAAGAACUAGCUUUUGAUGCUGAAGUCUCACAUGGAUGAUACCAGAAUCAAGAAUUACCCCACUUCAAGCCAAGAGAGCCAAUUAAAUGCAUAAAUUUAGUUUAUCACAGCAUUUAGAGGUUCUUGAGUUUAAACAGAUAAUUAACCAAGUUCAUAUGAGAAUGUCACACAGAAUCUAAGGAAGUACUCUGCCAUAUCAGAAUUUACAGAUAAUCAAGUGGUAAUCCAAGAUGCUUAGAUUAAUAUAUAUAACAGAAGACGAUGAUUAGGCAAGUGGGUAAGGACUUUUAAGGGAUAAAGUGGAAGCGGCAAGAAAUUGGAUAGCAAAUUAGCAAUGAGGACAAUUUUUGAGUCUCAAAGGAAAAAGUGGUAAGGUAAAAUAAAGAGAGUAGACAGCUUACAAGUUUCUUCUCUUGCAAUUGCCCAAGAAACCCAUGCUGAUUCAUUGCCCGAAAAACUAAAAAGUCUGCCUUUCCAACAUAUUGCCUGAAUUAUAAAUAUUGAUGAAGUCAAGAAAACUGAGGAAUAUAACAUCAGGAGGAAAAUAUUACACAGAAAAAUAAAGGAGGGAAUGUUUUCACUAAAUUGUAAUUACUUGUUAUUCAUGUGGUCCUGAGAUAUGAGCCUCACUAUUUGCAUUGUUGGUGGCCAGUUCGCCGCAAGCCUGAGGAGUGAAAUAAUGCACAUCAAUAAAUAAACGCCAAUGACACAUUUUACCAUAGUCUGAGAUUAAGAUUUUAUUGUACACUAAAGCACCAACCAAUUAAGGCCAACUAAAGAGUUCUGAUCAAAAUACAUUCAACCUCACGCCACUAUUCUUACAGCAUGUCAAGAUAUUAGGAUUCUAAGAAUGAAGGUAACUAAAUUUUUAUUUUAACCAAAGAAAAAGCCGUCUGCUUUGAUAAGUUAGAAAUAUUAAUAGUCAUAGACCUCUUUUUCUACAUAAAAGAAUUAAAGUUAAAAUAGAAACUUUAAACCAUUGAUUACAUUCCAUUAACAUCUAUUUGAAACAAAAAGAAGAAAGAGUACUCCCGACUUACGUCUCAGAAGCUGAAGCACUCCUGUAACCCUGACAAAAUUAGAAAGCAUUUGUGGAGUCAACAAAUAAUUAACUGCUAAAAUUGUAAAAGAUAACUAAGAGAAAUAUAAAUAAUCCCAUGUCGUUAGGCCCUAAACAUGCCUCAUGCUGUGGUUUAAUUCAGGAUGCUCACACCCUUAUGGUUAUCAAAUUGUCUAUAAAAAUAGAUGCUAUUGAUAGCACACUUGAAAUAACUAUUUAUGGAUUGUUCAGUGUUUUCGGCAAUUUUUGUUCUCUCUCCUCCUCCAACAAAUAUAUUAAAACUCAAACCAAAUGCAUAAUACUUUUGAAUUCAAAUCACUCUGAAGCACAAUCACAAGGAAACAUAGAGAACUUUUUUCAGAAAAAUUUAAGUUCGACAUAAAUAACUAUGGUUAUCCAUGACAGCACAUUGGGUUGAUUCAAUGGCAAUUUGGAAUUUCCCUCUCCGGUGAUAGUUUAUCAGUGGUGUUUUGGGUGAAGAGUAGUUUGUGGAUAUCAAAGAAAUGAUGGUCAGAUGGUUUACCAAUUUAUAUGGAAACAUACUGAAAAUCCUCAUGUGCCAAAGUCACACACAUGCUCCAUUUUUCUCUCAAAAAUAAUGAUUUUGUGCAAUGCAAGAAACCAGACGUAAGAGUAUCACAAAAUAAACCACAGUUUCCAUGUCAUCCAACAAGGCAACGGAGAACGAACCUCCAAUCUAGUGAUAAACACAGGCUGCCCUUGUCUCUGCCCAGAUAAAGCUCCCUGCAUGUAUUUUGAUCAUUCAAGUAUGAGUGAUUGCGGAAUACCACAGUAAAACAGGACCAACCAUCUUUAAAACUUUCGUGAUAUUCUAGCUUAAAAAAGUUACCACCAGAAGUUUGAAAAUCCAACCGUAUUUUUUUAAAAGACCUACCUCCCAGACUUUCACAUAUUUGGAUUGUGCAGAUGCCAGAGCACUUGAUGUCUGUUGUGAAAAUGGCACAUUAGAUGCUGAAUUAUUGUUUGCACCAAGUGACUGCAUCCCAGAUUGCACCUGUUGAGCCAUUCCUGGAGUAGGAAUCAUUGUACCAGUUCCAGAAGAGGCACCUGUUGAACCAAGGGCACUCAUCAUGUUUGGGUUCAUGCCAAUUCCACUUUGAACCAUUUGCGGUCCCGAGAGAUUUCCUUGGCUCAUACCAGGCACAGCUUGACCCAUACUAACACCACCUUGAAGGUUGCUCAUUGGUUGUGACAUCCCAAGGUUAUUGUUGCUCAUUGGUUGUGACAUCCCAAGGUUAUUGUUGCCAGAGACAUUAGAGGUACCUGAAGUGAAUGAAUUAAGACCUGGGUUCUGCGCAACCUGUGUAAGAGUGCCGGACCCGGAAGAUGAAAAUACAUUUUGAGCAGCACCAACUGAAGAUGCCAUUCCACUAGAUAUCAUGUUUGAUACAUGCAUGGCCAUAGGAUUUUGACCCAUAGUUGGGAGUCCCAUAGAAGUUCCUCCAGUUAAGGCUGCUGCGUUCAUCACGCGUGCUUGAGAGAUGUUAUUGAGGAUGCUACCUACAGGACGCGAGGGAUGUGUCACACCACUCACUACAGGUUUCAAAUCUGGCACAUUAUCAUUGUUUGUGGCCAUCUCUUGAGAAGCAGAAGAUGGUGAAGAAGUCUGCAAGCUCGGGACUCCUUGGGAAGGAGGACGGACAGAUGGAAUGUGUGCAAAAGAAGGUCCCAUGGAACUUACAGUGCUUGGCUCCUAAACAAAUCAUAUCAAAACUUUAUGACUAUACGUGUGCAAUUUAAAGCAGUAUACCAGACCAAAGUGAACAUCUCUUUCCUUUGCACAAAGCAUAAAAGUUCAAGAGUGCAUAAGAAAUCUUACAACUUUUACAGUAGCAGGAGGCACAUUUCCAACAGAAAUUGGUUGCCGAUUCAUUACAGGUCCAUUCACUAAUUUGAAAAACAGGAAAGAAAAAGAAAGGAUAAGUCAGCAAACAAGCAGGAUAAGCAAGAAUUAACCAUGAAAAAUUAUGAACAGCCUAGCCAUAACAAACUUAAGUGCUUAAUUCAAACAAGACAGCCUAUUAUACUAAGAUUUGUAAUUCAUUUAACCUUACUAUGUUUAUUUGAGGGGUAUGACAAGACAAUUACUCUUAUAAAAGAUAAAAUAGAAAUUGCGACUACACCUUAUUGAUACUGAAACAUUGAUAAUUUCAACAACAAAAAAGUCAAAUAGAUAAGUGAAACCGAAUCAUUAAGUACUUUCAUUAACAGAAAAAAAAAUGAACCAAAUAUUUUGCACUGGAAAAAGGGACAACAUAUUGACUGCAAAACCAACCAGAGGGCAUAGAAGUUGGAGGCGGCCCAGUAACUGAAGCAACAGGAGCUAUGUCCAUUUUUACAGGACUCUGAUUUGAGUGCAAAGUUGUAAUUCCUGGACGACUUAAAGUAGCACGGGCCUCCAUAAAAUUCUCUGAGAUUAAAACAAGAAAGUGGGGAUUUUUCGCAUUAUCAAUUGGUGGAUCUGCCGCUCUAGGGUUGCGCUUUCCCUGCAUUGGCAAAGUGGUAUCACACCAACUUCUUAUAGUGAUCUUAAGCCAUAGGAAAUAAAAUAUUCAGUCUGGCAAUAAUAUUGUCGCCUCCCUUUGGUAUAGUCGAACAUUCUUUGCAGCUUUAUUAAUAUAAUUAGACAGUGGUUCCAUGCAUAUGAAUACCAGAAAAAACUAUAUUUUUUGUUCAUGACAGUCUAAGUGGUUGAUUUUAGAAUUCAACAACAUAAAGGGUUAAAGCUCAACAGAGCACCAAGGAAAAUAAAGGAAGUUACUUUAAUGUUGAUUGGGCAAGAUAUACAAAAGGUCAAAAGCUUAAUAUAUACAUACAUACAUACAUGCAUAUAUAUAUAUAUAAUAUUUAAGGAUAAGAGAUAAGAGAUGGAACAUACCGCAUUGUAUAUUGCUCUGAGCUCAGGUAGCUCUAUUGGACAAAUGACUGACAGCGAAACAGAGCUCUGGAUGAAAAAGUAAGGGCUCAUUACUGAUAAUUUUCAACCUUCACGAGGAACCCAUCACAAGGAAAGGAACAGACAUUAAACUGGGAAUAAACAAAAAAACUACCUGUGGAAAUGAUUUAGCAACAGCCUCAGCAUCAUAAAGACGAUUUUCUGUUUGUGCAUCAAUAUUUUCAUUUUGCUCCAAAUUUUGAAUUUGUGGCCGAUACACUGGUGUGGGCAGAGGGUGAGGUUUACUCGCAGCAAUAAGAACACAAUGCUUCUGACAAUCCACAUUUUGUUGAUUUUGGCUUCCAUUUUGAACUGUAGGGAACAUCUGUGUUUUACAUCAGAAGAAUUGUAAAUGUUAAGUUUAAAAUGUGACUAAGAAAUGCAUUUGAACUCAAAAGUACUUGGACGGCUUUGAACAGCAUACCAUUAGAGCUUCCGAAAGCCCUUCCGCAAUUGCAGCUUCACUAAAACCACCCCCAGAAAAGGGUAUAGCUGAAAGCCUAUGUAAGAAGAGAUUCACAUCCCUUGUCCAGCCACUCCGUUGUACCAGGCAACCUUGAUGAAAGGUUGUACAAUUAUUUCAAAAUAUUCAUAUAUAUAUAUUGAGCAAAUGCCAGUUACAGUAAUGAGUGGAAUGCCUACAUAUCAUCUUGGUGAAUUGGGUUCAUAAGAAACAAGGUGUGAUACUAGUUAAGUGGUAAUUUACCAGGAAAAAAUAAAAAAAUAAAAACUUCCAUUUCCAGCCAUAAGUUGUCCUACUAAGGGGAACUGGAAACGUAUAACUUAAUGUAGCUCACUGUAUUUCCACAUAAAGUUCGCAAAACAAGUUUUUCAGACUUCCAGGUGGUGUUAUGUACAAAGAGCCACUACGUUACAAUAAAGUCUACUAAUUUUAGAAUUUAACUUAAAGCUAGUAAAAAUCCACCACUUCAAAGGGAAUAAUUCCACAAAGCAUGUUAAAAUCACCAAGAAAUCAUUUGCAAACCUUGAACAACAUCCACCUUAACUUUCAAACAAUUAUUUGACUUAGUAUAAGAUUGAACCCUGUUUACAAAGAACUAUUUGACUUAGUGUAAGAUUGAAUCCUGUUGGUAGGAGGAUGGAGGACUAGCAAGUCUUCCCCUAUAAAAAGUAAAAUUCCUGAAGAAUUUGUAGUCAACCUCGUACUGCAAUAAUAAAUUAACAACACAAGUCAUACAUCCGAAAACUAGGAAUAAGAAGAACAAAAUUACAUACCACAAUAAGAUCCAUGAGUAUUGAACGUGACCAGGGAGAGCUCAACAGUAGAAGUCGACAGCUUCUGCAUCUCAAAAGCCAAAUUACAUAAUAAGAAAAAGACUACCAAGCUAGAAGUCUUACAGAGGGAACUAAUAAUGCUGUUGCCAGUGAAACGUAAGAAUGGUUGUCUGUGGUUUGAUAAAUAGUUGAUGUAGUGUACACAAAUGGUACUCAAAUUAUUACAUGCAUGCUAUUAACAUCUAGUCAAAGAAGGCACAACCACCUACACGAAAACAUGUUUAAAUAUGUAAUGAACAAUUAACAGUUCGGACAAAAUGACUUCUGAUAGAUAAUGAUAAACUUAAAGUAAUGGAAAAGGGACAUACCUGCCCACUUGGCUCGUUUCCACAGAAACUCCUGCAGGAAAAAGAUAAAUCAGAUGUGACUUAUUUAUAGAGUGGUGCAUAAAAUCCCAUGCAUGUUAAUGAAAAAUCAAUGACAAACUUCAUAUAUGGUUCUAUGUACAGGAAUGUAUUUGAUGAAGAUUGUUAAUAUUCCAAGUAUGAACUUUUGCUGAAGUUGUUAUAGCUAGGCACUUAUUAACUUUUAGAAUUCUCAAGGACAGCUGUAUAAAAAUUUCAUGUGCAAUGAAAUGAAACUGUAAAUGGGAAAUCAUGAUAAAACCUCAUCUUUUAUACUAUACUUUGGGGAGUUAAUUAAACCCCAGGAGAAAUAUAUGAUUCAACAGGACAAAUUCAUGAGAACUUACCUUGUAACCUACAUCAUAAGUAGAAACCAGAAAGUAACAUGUGAAAUCAAAGCUGGUCAUAGACAAGGAGGGAGAAAGAACAGAAGCUACAACACAGCACAAAGGAAGAAAGAUAGAAAAAUUACUAAGAACUUAAUCGCGGACCUUACGAUCUUCUCUAAAUAAUCUUUAAAAAUGAGUUCCCAGAAGGGACCCAUGGCUGCAGUCCCUUCAACAGCGAUGAUCAGUAGUUUCUCAGCCAUUAGGGUUUUCUCUGUGAUAGGAUUGGGGAUCCACUUUUAAAGAUCACAUUGACGACCUCGGGCAUAUCUAUUAGUCUCAUUGAUGAGCACGUAUGUACGUUUUUCUCUAGUUAUUGACACGUCUGCAUGAAACUCUGUAAGGUAAAAACUAACCAUCCACCAUCGACCACGUAACCUAUACGUUACUGAUUAUAGUAUUACAAUAACAAAAAUAAUAUUAAGAAUUUAAAUAAUUAAUAAUAAUGUGUAAAAAUACACUUCAGACAUCAUAGUAUAGAGUAUGCUCACUCCAAUAAGCUGGAGCAUGAUACCCUGCUUCAAGAUGUCUAAGGAGUUAUCCACUCUCUCCUUUGCUUGACCACCGGAGGAAAACCAAUUAUAGGACUUAUUUUCCAUCACAUGCCAACAAGCAACAAAUCAUCGGAUGGAGCUCAUCACCGCGAAUAGCUUCUAACAAAACUGAUGAGGACUAACUAAUUAUUUAUAAAUCCAUCAAAAUCCAGUUUCCAUCAGGAUUAUAUGAAAUAAAACUUUGUACGUAGUAGAAAUAUAGCAAGGCUGCCUACGGUUUCACGGUACGAGGGUACAGAAAAAUCGGACAUUUCUACAACACACUAAACUAGUUUUAUCAGAUUCUUUCGUAGCUGACGAAAGAUUCAAAAUUGAACCAAAACUGUAUAGUUUUUCCAGCUAACAAACAACUACUCCGCAUAACCAAUUUCAAAGUGAAAAGUGAAAUUGCAAUCAAAUUUCGAUUCGGAGCCACCAAACGCAGCCGAAACAAGUUAAUUAAUCACAUAAACGAGCCACAGAAAAUUCUCGCCCGAUAACAAACACCAAAACCCUAAAAUCACAAUGCAAAAAAAAUCUAAAAAAGAAAUCAACAAAAGAAUAAAUUCAGCUAAGAAACUCCCUACCUGAUGAUCUUAUCAAGGUAAUCGGAGACGACGGUUGCCCAGCAGGGCCCCAUGGCGGCGGUACCUUCAACGGCCACGAUCAGCUGCUUCUCCGCCAUCGUACCGCUAGAAAGGACCGUGGAGAAAUUUCAACUGCUUUUGCUGGCUGUGCGGCGGAAAUGUGUGAGUUCAAAGCUUGGAAACGGUGGUAAGUGCACGAAACGCAGCGUUCUGGACGACGAAGACCAGUAUUUUAAAUGGGAGUCAAUACCCAGCUGCUGCCGCGACUGGUUUGGGGGUUCUUCCGGUGGCGCAAAAUUAAAGGCCGAGCCCACCGCCUUUUUUUAGUUUUUCUUGUUGGAAGGUGGUAAAACCUCAAUAAACAGUCAUUAUUAAGACCAAAUCCAAUGGUGGGUGAAAAGUCAACUUUCCUUGUUUGGUAAAUCAUCAAAAUGGUUCAUGAGAUUUGCGUAACGUAUCACUUUGAUCCUAAGAUUCCAAAUCGAUAAAAGUGGUCCCUAAGAUUGUCCACCAUCCAUCAUUUUGGUCAUCGUUAAAAACUCUGUUAAGUGUUCCGAAGCUCUUGGCCAAAAGUUUGAACAAUUUUUCAAAGCUUUGUAACUCAAUCGUUUUUUAACCAAAUUCAACCCAUAAUAUAUCAAAAUGAAGAUAGGAAAUUGUAGAAUACCUAUUUCGAAGCCCAAUGGUUGACCGAGAUGGCUGGAAAAUAGCCUCAAAGUUGACUGGUCCGAGUGAAAACUUGAAAAAUCGCCGGAAACUGGAUAAACUUUAAACGAUCAUAACUUCUUCAAUACUCAACGAAAUCAAGUGAUUCAAAAACAAAAAUCAUACUUCUCGACGAGAAUAAGAGAAUGGUACCUUUUUUGAAUGCCAAAUAACCGUGGUUUGGCCGGAAAAUGGCUCAAAAGUGGCUAACUCGAUACCAAUAUAACCACUUUCGAGCCAUUUACCGACCAAAAAACGGUGAUUUAGCCUUCAAAAAGGUAACAUGCUCUUUGUAUCAUCGAGAAGUAUGAUUUUCAUUUUUGAAUCACUUGAUUUCGUUGAGUAUUGAAGAAGUUAUGAACGUUUAAAGUUUACCCUGUUUCCGACGAGUUUUCAAGUUUUCAUUCAGACCAAUCAACUUUGAGGCUAUUUUCCAGCAAUCUCCAGCAACUAUUGGGCUUCAAAAUAGGUAUAAUCUUAUUUUACACUUUCCUAUCUUCAUUUUGAUAUAUUAUGUGUCGAAUUUGGUUAAGAAACGAUUGCGUUACGAAGCUUUGAAAAUUGCCCAAACUUCCAGCCAAGUGCUCUGGGACACUUAACGGAGUUUUUAACGGAAUGACCAAAAUGAUGGAUGGUGGACAAUCUCAGGGACCACUUUUAUCGAUUUGGAAUCUCAAGGACCAAAGUGAUGAGUUAUGUAAAUCUCAUGGACCAUUUUGACGAUUUACCCUUCCCCAUUUAUUCUCCCCCCUCCCCCCCCCCCUAAACACCACAUAACCCAUGCUAAAACAUUAGGCUAAAAGUCAAAUGCCAAAGAUGGGCCAAAUACCCCCUCAUGCAAGUGGACUCGUUAUCACUUAGGCCAGUUUUGGCCCACCCAUACUCCAACGCGCCCCAUGCGGUUGGCUUGCAAGGCUUUCCCGACAGGGGUGAGCCCCACUGUCAACUAUGUGUCGGCUAACAUCAUCAUCCCAACGGCUAUAAUUUUAAUCCAAAUAUUCAUAAGGCCCACUUAGCUAGUAGUAGAGGGAUGCCACUUAAUAAAAUGACAAACAUGCUUACCAAUUAGCUAUUUUGUUUAGUAAAUGUUUUUUUUUCAAUAUUGAAGGGAGGGUUUCUUUAGUUCACAUUAAAAGUACAAAUUUAAGUUACACAUUUGAAUAAAAGCCGUUAAAUUAUUUAACUUAGGGCUGGUUUGGUAUUUGCUUUAAAAAAAAAAACUGAUUCUGCUAUUCUGUGAGAAUAAGCAGCUGUGAAAUAAAGCAGCAGAAUAUUUGGUAAACUUUUUUUGUAAAAGUGUUUAUAGAAAAAGAAAAAAAAAACAGUAUUAUAGUGUUUGGUAAACUUCUAUGUAAAACAGUUGUAACUGUGUGAAAUGACCAAAAAAGGUAUAAUACUAGAUGUGCCAUUAAUUUAAUUUUCUCCAACUACAUCAAGUAGUCUCUCCCAUUACCCCACUACUGAACCAAACUUUCCAAAAACCAAAAACAUCUCUCUAGAAGUCUCCCCCACACCCCCAAUUUUCUCAGUUUUUAUUUUUUUUUUGCUCUGUCUUCUUCUUUUUUAUUUUCUGCUCCGUUCCUUAAUCUCUCUCACAUGUCAUCUGAUUUGUAGUUCAUACAUGGUCUAGCUGCUCGAGGAGUUCAUUAUAUAUAUCGGGCAGGCUCAACGCUUCAGGAUGCUGGUUUCUUUCUUCUUCUGGGACUAAUCAUUUUUUCUUUUUGAUAUUGUAUGGUGUGAAUUUGAUCAUACGAAGUAGUUUCCUGUAUUUAAUUUUGGGUAUUUGGAAUAACUAAGUUUUGGUGUCCGUGUGGGCAAUCUAGGCUCUCCUAAUUUGCAUAAAUACGAAGAUUAGUCGCCUAUAAGCGGUGCAAUAUGGGAAAUUUGGGCAAAUAUGCGAUGCCAAAAUUGAUUAUGGUCCUCGCUGAAAAAGAUGGUGGAUUUCUCGACUGGAUUUUGUAGGCAUGGGAGUGAGAGAGGACAUACAAGAGAUGGAGGAAGGAUAGAGACAGAAACAACGUCCUGGGUAUGGAAUUCAAGGUCAAUAACGGUGAUUGUUGAAGUUGGGAGUGAACGGCGUUGUGGCGGGAUCGACGAGAACGACCUUCCAAUUGAAGUCAAUGACGUUUUCCUGUUGGUAUUAUGUGUAAUUGUUUAAUUGUUUAAUGUCAUUUUGGGGUUUUGAAAGUUUCAUUAAAGGGCUCAGUGCCUCUUGCAAAUUAGGUUUGCGCAUAAGCUGUGGAAGCAAAAAAAGUCGAUUUUUCAAAGCUAGCUUUUGGUGCUUUGAACUUUUAGUUUUUUUUUUCCACACAAAACUGUAGAAAAAAGUUGAAGUUGAAUGUUUACCAAACACAAAAAAGCUUCCAGUUUUUUUUUAUACCCGUUUUUUUUUAAAACACAUCAGUACUAAACAAGUACUUAAAAGGAAUUUAACAACUUUUAUUUAGAUGUGUAACUUAAAUGUGUACAUUUGAUGUGCACUGGAGAAAAAUUAUUGUAAGGUGUGCCAAAGGGAUAUUACAUGUUACACAACUCAAAAUUCACACAAAUAAAGGAUCUUAUAUACACAAUUAAUAAAUCAUACGUUUUUUUUCUUCAUGUUUUGAUAAGUAAUAUGAGUUGGUGAUCAUUACAUUUUUGUAUUAUCUUGUGUCGGUAAGUUUGUGGGUUGACAUGAGAGCAAUUUCACCCGUUGGGCAAAGGCAGCCCAAUUUUAAAGGUACCACUCACUAUAAAUAGUCAUUUCUUUUGUGCAACCUGCUAGUUUUACUAUUGUCAGGGUGGUUACCAUUCACAACUAUGUAUUUUUUUUAAAUUUUUUAACGCAUGAUUAAGUUAUUUAAUAUUUAGCAGACGGGUUAAUUUUUUGUAUUUUUCAUAUAUAUAUAUAUAUUAUUAUUAUUUUUUUAAUUUUAAAACUUUUUUUGCACCAAGUGGCUUAGCACAAAAAAAAUAAAAAUAAAAAAAAUUGUGGCUGACGUCAGCCAUGCUAGUAGGCGGAAGGUCGGGCAUAUCUUGCACGGACAUUGGGUUGGACUUUAGCUUGGCCUAUCACUUGCCCUCUGAUUUUUGGGUUGCUGGAGGCCCUUUUUGAGGUUAAAAGGCAAAUUCAAAAGCCCUUGCCCUUUGACAAUGGGUGCAAUUGCUCUUAAACACAACCCAAACAUAACAAUAAAUAAAUCCGAUCAUAACCCAUCGCCACCUCCAAAAGAAGUCACGAGGUCGAGCCGCCGUCUUCUUUGAUGAAAAUGACAUAAAUUGUUGAAUUUCAGCAGUAAUUACAUAAUGUAGAUGCCGGCGUGUGACGCACUUGAAGCCUCUUUGUCAAAUUCCAUAACUUCAGACCCAGUUUCCAUGAAUUUUACACUUGUAUAAAUAAUAGUUUAUUUGGAAUAAAUUUCCUGUAAAUGUUCAAACUAAUGUGAUCUGCCAGUAAGCAGGUGGUCAUCUACCUAACCGACAUAUCAACACAGAUUAGUGUAUGCAAACCUAAUCUGUUUGUUUGCUUUUGGUAGUUUGCUCUUGUUUAUUCACCUCAUUAAUUUAAUUUAAUUGAAUAACCAAAUAACUUGGCCGGCUAUGUUUGGUCGCUUUUCACUUUUCUUUUUCAUCUUUGUUUCCCCAUUUUUUAAAAAGCUUUGACAGCCUAAAGGAACUAAGACUGCAACUGCAAUAUUCGAUCUUUUGAGCCAAAAAAUUAUCAAGAAAUACUACACAGAGAAUGCAUUUGGACGAGUUGGCGUCCUUCAUCAGGAAAGACGGAGUGCAAUUGGACGAGUUGUUUGUGUCCACAAGGGGACUACAAUAUACAUAUAUGAACAUCUCAGUCGCGGGCAAGUCGAUGAUCAUUGUUCCAAUCGUAGCUACUACCUAAGUUAGAUCCACAUUUUUACAAGACCUACAAGUUCAUAUAUAAUCCCUGCAUCAUAUAAAUAAAUUGAAAAACGUUAACAUACAGUCAUUUAUACGUGUGAGUGAGUAUCAACCGUUGAUAUAUUGUGAGUUCGACUCGCAUUACGAAUCACACCCACUCGCAUGGAGGCCUCAAGCAUUUGCCAAAGAACUUCAUGUAAUGCAUGGGAUGGGGUGGCACCAAGCCUAGUUUACGUACUGUAUAAUAUGAUUAAAGCAUUUUAUACCUCCUGACAAUCCAAAGUCCAAAGAGGUCUCUGAUUCCUUCAUGGUGUUGCUGGCAACCACAUCAGCCAACCAGCCAGCAGAUCAAUGUGGACUUGUGCCCCGAUCGACACGAUUCGACAGCCACCUCAUUUGUAAGAUUCACAUCGAACGGAAUAUUAUUUAGGUGAACGUAAUGUUAUAAGUAACCAAAUAAAGGACAAAUUAAGCUGUUAAAGAUCUAUAUAUGAAAACUGUUGCAGUACUUGUAGAAAUAUGGAAAACAAUAAUAUGAAAUAUGACUUAGAGGUACGAUUUGUGUUUUUUUUAAGGUAUUAUUUGUCUCCAUCUAAUGAGUUUGCUAAAGAAUUAUUGACGAACUACUUCUAAGAUACAAGAAAGUUUAGAAUCUACGAAUAGCAAAAUUCGAAGUAUUCUCUUAGAACUAAUUAAAAAUAAAUUAUGAUGGACAGAAAGAGAGUAAAAGAACUGUUUUGUGAACAAUUUCUAAUUAUACAAUCUGACGGCAAUAGUUAGAUAUUUAUAGAGAAUUAGGCAACCAUUCAUUUUAGUUGAAAGUGUGCAAUGGUAAACUGAAGACAUAUUGCACCGUAUGCACCCAAGAGAGAUGAUAUUCAACCAAUUGAGCAGGGUUAGCAACCGUAUGCCACCUAAUUGAAAGUGUGCAAUGGUAAAAUUUGAGUGUUAUGGUUGCUUGCACUCCACUAUUUAAGAGGAGUGUCAGUAACCUUCAGACUCAAAUUUCUUGUUUUAUCUUUUUGGUUUUGGUUUUCAUUUUCAUCCUGCAAUGUUAUUUGAUGAUUAGAACUUUUUUUGCCACUCUUUAAAGAUCAAUUCUGCUAAAAAUCAACAAAAUAUAAAAUGUUUAACAGUUCAAUUAGCAUUGUUAAGAUUUAAGUGUUUAAUAGAAAAACAUGAUUCAUCUGUUUAUUGAAUAAAUAUUAAACAACCUAUUUCAGAUUUAGUUCAUCUUUUGCGAUGAUCUUUUAAUGAUAACAUAAAAAUUUAGUGGUUAAGUCAUCGUGUAUUAUUGAAUGAUAAGAAGGAGAGUCGAAAAAAACAAAAUAAGAAUGUCUGAACAUUGCAAAAUUAAAAAGCCAGGUGGGUUUGUGCGGCUGCGGCAGCUAAUAGAAAAAUGGGCUUAACACAAGGCUUACCAGAAAGAUAAGUUAUUAUUAUACCUUUUAUAUAAAAAUAUACAAUUGAAAUCUAGUGCAGAAGCAAAAGACUAAUGCGUAUACCUACUUAUUGAGAGAGGAUAAUUUACAUGGUAUAUGUACACUGCGAAACUUACAUACGACUCUAUAAUGUUGGUAAAAUGCACAUCAAAGUAGCAGCAUAUUGUGUCGUAAAGUUUUUCACAUUGGGGCAGGGGGGAGUUGGAUAAUAAUGUACUGGAGUCGAUAUCAAAUGGAAAAUGUAUGUGUAUACCUACCUAUUGAGAGAGGAUAAUGUACAUGUCAUAUGUAUACUGCAAAACUUACAUAUGACUCCAUAAUAUUGGCAAGAGGCACAUCAAAGUAACAGCAUAUUCAUGUCGUAGAGUUUUUCACAUUGGGAGGAGAGGGAGUCGAAUAAUAAUGUUCGCUGGAGUCGAUAUUAAAUGGAAAAUGUAUGCAUGCAUGCCAUGUAAUAUUCAUGCGACUAUAUUAUCAAAUGUUGACACCUAGCAUAUAUCAAUUCUUUCUGUUUCCAUUUGAAAUGUGUUAGGAAGUUGGAAUUCACCAAUCUAUUCAAGCAGGACAACUUCGAAAGAAAAAAAAAACAAAGUUUGCAGUGAUAAUGUAGGAUUAACAUUUGAUCUCUCACUCUCCAGCAUCCACCGUCCAACUGAGAGAGAGAGAGAGAGAGAGAGAGAGAGAGUUUUCUGCAUGAUUCAUGCACGCAAUAACAUAUGAGGAAUUCACCCAAUUAACAAUUGUGCAUGCCUUGGGUAUGGGAAUGGACAAAAGUCGGGUUAAUAUGGAGCAUAUUUUAUAAGGUAAGCAGAAUAUGCUCAAUGUCCUCAUUACAUAUAUCAUCAAAUGAACCAAAAAAUGACUUUAGCCUUGAUUCCUUAACUCUUACCAUUUAAUUUAAUAUACAGCAAGAGGCACUUGGCCUUAGAUUCCCCUGAAGGGACAUUUCUCUUGAAUCUAACUCCCUCUCGAGUAUAUGUCUAGAACAUAGAGUGAUACACUGCAUGUAGAUAUACAACUAGACGAACAUUUGAUAAAAAAAAAAAGUUUUUCACCAAUUAUAUAUUAACAUGUGAUGUCCUACUUCGUGUUCUCAACACAUUAAAAAAUCUCUCCUCUCUCUAGACUUUUCCUUUGACUUAUCACAACCUCACCUUCCACUUCCAAGCAUCUAUAUUCCAUGCCCAGCUUGUAGAACUCCUUUGAAUCCAAAAAUAAUAUACGACCUUGAGCAAAAAAGAAAAAUAUAACGCAUAUCAUGUUGAAGCUUCAUCAAUUCUGAUAAAAAAAACCCCAGACAUUUACACAGACUCAUUAUAAUAUUUACUAUCCCGCAUCAAACUGCAUAUACUUCCCAUCUGUGAGCUAAGGAAACUUUAACGAAAAGCUCCCGGUACUAAAAAGUCAAUCCUAGUACUAUUCACUUUACCAUUUAUUUUGUCAUUAUCGUUAAAACUUAAAGUUUUCAAGUCAUUUUUAUUAGUUUUUCUUUAUUGUUAUGCUAGUUAUGUUAUUAAAAAUAUAAGGGCCCGCAUGAACCAAUUAGAUUCUCUUAAUCUAAUCUGACCUAAUCUAAUCCGAUCUAAUCUAUUUCCUAAUUCAUGUGAUGGAAUCUUCGACAAGGCAAGAUUCUGAGGAUCAGAAUACCCUCCUGAUUGGCCCUUCUCCAGAAAGAUAAGUUAUAAAAGUGGAGAAUAUACUAGCACAUAUCAUAUUCUAUAAAAUAUUUAAAACUAAUUAAGUUAAAAUUAUGGUGCCUAAUUGUCCGGAAUACGAUGGAAUAUUCGGAUGUGGACCAAACCAUAGUGGUAUUACAUAUUUAUUUUGUUUUAUUAUAUUAAAAAAAAAAUUGAAUGGCAAUGUGAUAAGUUAAAAAAUUAGCUCCAACCACACCUUGUCGGGUUUCUUGUGUUGACCUAGUUGGACAUGCAUUCCUAAAGCCACCACGUAUUAAUUAGAAAAUAGAGAAUUUUAACGAAAAAUUUCAUGUACUGUUUAAUUUAACGAAAAAUCAUAUUUCUACAUUAAAAAGUCAAUCAUUAUAUUAUUCACUUUACUAUUUAUUAUGUCCGUAUUGUUAAAACUUAAAGUUCUUUUUCGUUAGUUUUCAUUAGAAAAAUAAUCACCACCAAUACCAAUUUGCCAUGCAGGCAUUCAAUAAUUCCAAAUAUUGUUUACGAUAAUCUCACUUUGUUUUCUAUACAUGAAAUCUUAGAGGUUGCUCAAGAUGUUGAAAGUCUACGGUGGAUUGUCGUGGCUUCAUCACAGAUAAUCUCAUUUUUAUAUAUAAAAAAAAAACAAUCAAGAUGUUGAAAGGCUUAUGUCUCAUAUAUCGCGGAUGUGAACAUUGUGAGCAAUUAUUUUGUCGUUAAGCUAAUCUAAAUUGGUGUUUAUUGCCGAAUAAUGACGGGUAAAAGUUGAUUUACGUGUCAUGAUUAUCACGCUUAAUUUGUAGUUUUGUUUAAAGGUUUGGUGAUCUCUACAAACGAGUACAAAGUAUAGGACAAAUACUAAGGGCUUGAUUUUAGAGAUUUGCAUUAUUGUUCAUCUUCUUAAGUAUUUGCAACAAAAAAAAAAAAAAAUCUUCUUAAAAUACACGUUACAAUUUCGCUUCAAAUGAUCAGUAUAUAUAUACCAAGGAAGAAAAUAUCGGUAAUAUCGGAAAUAUCGGUAGUCCGAAAACACGGAAAUAUCGAUGGAAAUAUCGGGAUAAUAUCGAUAUCGAUAAAAAUUACAUGGAAACCACGGAAAUUGUAAGAAAAACUUGGAAAUUUUUAUUGAAACUUUGUAGGAUGUUUAUUUAGUCAAUUAUCUAUUAGUUUAUCACAAAAAAUUGGAAAGAAAUGCAUUGCAUGAUGGAUUUAACAUUAUCAAGUUGAUUAUAUAGCGAGCUGACAAACAUUGUGAGUGUAGAAAAUAUGUAGUAAUUAAUGAAAGAAGUCUAAACACACCAUAAUCAUUUAUAUAUAAUGAAUUAGUACAAUAUUUUACACUUUAUAUAUUUUACACUUUAGUACAAUAUUUUACACUUUAUACUUUAGUACAAUAUUUGGAUCAUUGGAUCAAAGAGCUAGAGACAGGUUUUGAAUUAUUUGGAUCAUUGGAUCAAAGAGCUAGAGACAGGUUUUGAAUUAUUUGGAUCAUUGGAUUCUUUUUUUUUCUCACACGCCACCACACACACAGAGAUCGAAAUUCGAGACCCCCCACACCACACACGCACACAGAGAUUGAGCUCAAUCUCUCGAUCAUUCCUUCUCUCUUCUGAGUCUUCUCCAUUCCAUUCUCCCUUCUCUAGUUCUCCCACACACACACAGAGACAUCAUCUCUCGAUCCAUCGGCGCGAUCCUCCUCGUCCGCGUUUCCCUCUCCUCAUCCCGCGACCUCUACCCCUCCCGCGACCUCUACGUCCUGGUGUUUCACGACCCAAAAGCUUGGGCAAACGCGUACAGAGCCUGCGAGUCCAAGAUCGUCGAGCAGUGCAAGGCCGGUGCCAGGAUCGCGUGAGCCAUUAGCGCAUCGGAAAAGUGUAAGCCCUGUGGUGGCGAGCUCUGAUUGGCCAGAAAGUCACAGACUUGAAUGACUUGAAGUAGAGGGAAAGUGCGAGGAGAGAGAAAUGGAGGGGUGUUUGACGGCGGCGAAAGAGAAGUGCAGCGGGUUCGCGAAGGAGAAGUGCUUGAAACCCUUCAGAGAAGCGAGGAUUGCAGGGGUGAAUGUGAAGCAGGCUGAGAGAUUGGUCUGUUGGGGGACUCUGGCGGAUCCGACUUCGUGGCUCAACUUGAUUGGAUUGGAAAAGUUGGGGGUUUUGGGUUCAGCGAUGAAUUAUAGGGCUGGUGAAUUGUUUGGUUCGGAUAGUGAGUCCCGCGAUCUCUACCUCUCCUCCGUCGGCGUCGACUUUCAAACAAUGUCGCGAUAAUAUCGCUAUUAUCGCUAAUAUCGCGAUAUUAUCUCGAUUUUUUGAUGAAAACCUAUUGGAUGUGUGUGUAAAUAUCGGACUCCGAAAAAACGAUAAUAUCGGCGAAAUAUCGCCGAUAUUAUCGAUUUUUUAUACCCUGAUAUAUACACACACACACGACGUGUUGAUAUGUCAGUAUUUCACAAUAAUUUUCCGUCCAAAAAAGUCACCCAAACCCUAAUCCAUAAACUCAACUUGAUACGUGGUGGAUUUAUUGGAAAACACUAUACAUAUGUACGCACAUGUUUUUGAUGUACAUCUACCAAACUAUUUUUUAUUUUUUUUAAAGGGACUAGCGGGUUGUUUCGCCACAACAAUCUACCAUUUCGAGGGAUCGGAAAGAUUCAUAGAGAAAUUUCAAUAUUCCAUGACCACCAUCGUGUGAUUCACCAGUGUUAGAAAUCGAAUGCAAGAUGUGCCACGCAGAAUACGGGUAUGAAAUUCCAUCCAUCAAACCAUUAAGUUUUCUCAUUAUCUUUCUUCUUUGGAGCGAAAGAACAAGGAAUAAUCGCAUGAGGUUUAGUCUCGACGCAACCACAUUUUCGAUGUUUAAUUUGGGGGCAACAAUGGCCAAACAGAAAAGAUUUGAGCAGAUCAACAUCUGUGAAUUACAAAAAGAAAACAUCUGUGAUUUUGCUUAUUUUCUUGGGUAGGAAGAUUUCUCAUGGGUCAAGAUUAAUAUUUUGUUCCCACUUUUAUAUUUUUUUGGAAGACUUUGAAGUAAAGAAGAAUAUUAUUCCCCUUCCUCUUUGAAGUAAAGUUGUCAAUAAAGCUACAACUCCUUCCUCAAGUAAUAUACCUAUGAAUAGACCAAUCCUUCUCACCAAACCUUGUUUUAGUGUCUGACCAGUUGGACAAAUUCAGAUGUGGAAUAUUAGUCACUUGUACGAUGAAGUAAUUAUCACGUUAAUGAUUCGUUUGGUUUAAUUAUCACGUUAACAAUCUAUUUGGUUCGUAAAAUGCGUUAUCGUUACGUGAUGAAAUCUAACUGUGAAAUCAAUUUUUAAGAGCCCAUGUAAACAAAAUUUGCCGGUAAAGGAAAUGAUGCCCAAGAGUUUUUAAAUCAUGUCGAGAUAAACUAUGUAUUUUGUGCAUCAACAUAAGUCACCAAUAUGUUUGUGUAUAUAUAUAUAUAUAUUCUCCUCGCAUCCAGAUAACUCAAACCAGCCAAAGUCGUACGUAUCGUUAGACUUCCAUAUUCACUGUCAGCUUAGAAACCUACCAUUCAAAAGCCAGGCUACACAUAUCUACAUACACAUAUAACAAACAAUAUAACAGAAUGUUGUGAUUGGCGUGAUCGAGCCUCUGAAUUUUUUUAUUUGGUUUGCUUCCAACUUAUGUAAUAUAAAUUUAUUCAACUUCAAGAACUUUCACUGUCAUUGUCCCACAUCCAACACCUCUACAUAUUCAAACUUCAUGAAACAACAGGAGGGAAAAACAAAAGGGUAAAAAGAAAAAGUCAGAAUAAUUGGUGUGGUAAAUCAGAAACGACUCUACAAGGCUGGUUACAAAAUUUUUACACCAUUCUCACAUUCUAACAAAUCUAAACCACAGGGGAAGCAGGGGUGUGAGUGGAGGAUGACGUAGCAGUCGAAUUGGAGUGACCGCGGCCUUCGCUGUGGCUGACCCUUUCGUCUGAAUGAAAGGGUUUGGGUUGCUUUGGCCGCGGUCUUUGAAUUGGUGGUGAGACCUGUGUGACAGCAGGAGUUGAAGCCAAGGGUGCAUAUAUUCCAUUGGCUGCCUCCCCAGAAGCAGUGGUUGCUGCCAUUGCUGCGUACUCCUGGGGUGGCACCCAAAUGCCUCCCACAACCACAAAUUGCGGUGCUGGUGCGCCGCUGUUACUGUUGCCGUGCAUUGUUGGAGUUGGUCUUCGAGUAUGUAAACGAUAUUUCUGCGAACAACAAAACAUGAUCGAAAUUAGACUCUGACGAAUCGGCUAAAUGAAAAUUCACAAUUUGUUAAUGAUUCUUCAAGAUAACGCAUGCUUCUUAUGUCACUAUUUUUUAAGGACAUCCACGCCUGCUUGCACAUAGAGAGGCACCUAAUUAAAAUUCAUCACUAACAGCAUGCAAAAUGAUUUCCAAUUUCUGUCAUGUAUGUGUAAAAUUUUAUUCACACCAACCAAAUUAUGAUUAAAAACAGAUGGAUAAUCACAUAUACAAACCUGCAAAUGGCUUUUGACUUCAUCAUUAGUAAGCCCAUCAACCUUCAUUAACUCUCUAAUUUGUUUUGGUGUAGCAGCUGCAAGAAAAAAAACCAAUCACAUAACGCAUUAAACACACAUCCAAUACAUCCCAAUCCAAUCAGAUAUUCAUCCAAUCAUAUAAAAUAACAUAUCCCACUAAAUUAAUCUCAACUGCAUACCAUGUGAACCACCAAGCUGUUGAAGAGCAUGCAAGAACCGGCGGUGCAACUCCGGUGACCAGUUUCGCCUUUGUUUCCUCUGACCUUGUCCAUCUUUCUCUUCUUUCUUGUUGCUCCCACCACUGCCUCCACUCGCGGUGUCCGUGGUGGAACUAGUAGCCGGAGCCGAAGAAGGUUCUUUAGCCACCGGUCCAUUUGUCUUUCCAAUGCUUUUUUCCCUUUGGAAAGGCUGAAAAGCACCCCCAUUUCUCUUCACCUCCAUUACUAAAGCCUUUCUAGGCAAUUCCUGCAAUUACCAAACACCCAAAAAUCAAUACUUUCCACUCCUCCACCUCAAAUUUUAUAAGCAACCAAAUAAAAGGGCAGUCACAAAAUUCAAUAAAAUUGAUGAAGGUGGAGUCCUUUUUUUAUACCUCUUUGAGUGGUGCAUCUGGGGUUGUAUUCCACAGCUGUACAGAUCUAAGCCAGUCUGGUUUUUUCUUAUCAUCCUUCUCAGUGUCCUUAGCCUCCUGAGACUCUUGAACUUCAUCCUCAUCACUGUCUGAAGAUGAAAUCCGUUUUAAUGGAAUGAAUUCCUCAAAAACAUGCCCCUCACUUGAAGUCUGCUCAGAACACUCAGAUUGUCCAUGCAGGUAAUCGGCGGUUGUAUCUGAAAUCUGCUGCCUGCACCUCUCAAUAGCUACCCAAAAAAAAAUCCAAUUCAGAAAACAAAAACCAGAACAAUUCAAGCAAAAGAAACGAAGUUUCCGACUCAGAACACAAAAAUUAAGCUGAAAUUUGAAAAGGGUCUGUGUUCUCCGUAGUACCUUGGGUGACAAGCUCCAAGCAGAGAGGGAGCUCCCUCUGGAAAACUUGAAUCUUAUUCCUCUCCUCCUCCAAAGCCUUGACAUACUCACGGAAACCCAACUUUGCAGAAGUCUGCAUUUCCUCUGUGGACUCCAUAGCUGAAAAGCUUUUGGCUUUUUCCUAUUUCUUUUUCCUUUUAUCUUCUGGGGUUCUGGGUUUUCCAGAUCUUCUGUCCUUAUCUUGGUUUUUGGGUGGAAUCAAAACUGGGGCGUGAGAAUGUGGGAUGGGUGGGAUUAUAAGGGAGCAGGUGGGUGUGUUGUGGGUGUCCAGAGCAUAGAUAGAAACGAACAAGGAGAAUUGGAGAAGGUGAAAGCGUCUUCUCAAAGACGCAUAUGGGAUCUAAGCAGAAUCAGAAAACGGAAUAAUCUUUGCACACCAAAACCCAACAAAAACAAAUAAUUUAUUUAAAAGAAAACAACAAAAUCGAGUUUCUUUCUGGAGAGAUAAAAUUAGAAUUAGAAACCCAGAAAAAAAAAAAUUUUGAAUUUUUUAAGGGUUUUCAGAGAAAGAAAGAGAAGGAAAGAGAGCGGUCGAGGUCGUGGCGUCGCGUACAAACACGAAUCUGUGGUUUCGGGGAAUUUUAUUUCCUAAAUAGUUUUGUUUGGAAAGAAAGUAGAGGGUUGAAUAUUCCACGGUAUAUGUGUUCUGAUUCUCCUUUCUUUAUCCUAUAGGUAGGCGAUGACGUCAUCACCUCUCACACCUACUUUAUUUUUAGGUCUAAAGGAUUAUUGUCCCGCGUGGUGAUACGAUGGUCGGAAGACAGGCCAUAUAUUUUAAAAAAUUAGAAUUUAAUCUUCUGAACAGAGUUAGGAUUUAAGUUCAAAAUUGAAAAAUUUUGUCUACUCUUUUAAUUGUUAGCAUGUGAGUCAUAAAUCUAAAGCUAAAACAGAACUCUCCGUUAAUUGUUAGCAAGUGAAGUUUAAAUGUGAGACUAACGUUAUCUUUUUAGCCUCACAUGUGAGGCGCAUGUGCUAAUAACUAAUGGAAGGUUACAGAAUCUUCAAUUUUGGGUUUAAAUGCUAACAGACUUUAGCACUCUGCUAUCUUAUGACUACUUUAUUACUACAGAGACGGUUAAUCCAAUCAAAUUAGGAAUUGUUAUUAGCACUCCAAAAAUUUCAUUCUACACUCAAAACUUUCUAUAUUAGGAAAGAAAAAUACACUUGUGAGGAGUAUAAAAUGAGAUUUUUAGAGUGCCAAUAACAUUUCUCUUUUUAUUUGUCUUGUUUAAGUUUUCAAAUUUAGAAAUACAUGACUAUUUGUCUAGCGAGACCGACACUCGCAGCUUGAUCUGAAAAAAUUUUGUUAUCGACUUACACGCUUGUGACGAUGAAUUGGUUUUAGGGAUCAUCUCACUACUUCCAAAAUUCAUACUAAAACGUCGAGAAAGUAUAAUACUUUCCUCUCCAAUAAACUAUGAAACUCAAAAAUAAAAUCAAAGAGAUUAUAUUCACACACACUCCAAAUUACUUCUCUCACAUAUUUUUAAUAUUUUUUUACAUAUCAUUAACACUUAAUAGAAAAAUAUUAAAAAAAUUAAAAAUAUGUGGAAGAAGUAAUUUACGAUGUGUGAAUAUAAUAUUUCUAAAAUUAAAUUUGAGUUUUGAGUGUUUGAGUUUCCAAUUCACACAUACAAACCAUCAAAUUCGAACGUAAUAUUCCUCGAUGUCCUUGUUGCGGGUGCAUUAACAAUUUACUGUAAAAGUAUAUUCGUCGAUAUCCUUUUAUUAGAUAAGAACAAAAGAAAAUUCAAGCAAUUUAUUUUAAUUUUGUCUAUAUCUAAUUUUAUUUUUGGACUAUUGGCAUUGUACCGCUUUAUCCGCUCGGUAAUUGAUGAAUAUUCUAGAUAUUUAUUUGGGGAUGGAACUUGCUGCUGAAAAAAUCAAUAGCAACUCUUGUUGAUAACGGUUGCUGAUGACUAAUCACAAUUGAAUGCGUGUUCAAGUUAUAAUUAAAAAAUCAACAAUUUGGAUAUUUAUUCAACUGUGAUUGGUCAUCAGCAGAGAUUGAUUUUUUAGUAGCUAAGUUCCAUCUUUUAUUUAGGAAUAUAUUUUCUUGCUCUUCCGAAUAUACCCCGGUCUUUUGCGAUACCAAAGGGAAUCUUCAAAUUCGUGACGCGAGGGAAAGGGAGAGCGUGCUUUCACACGCGCUCCCACGACGCGUGUGAUUAGGCAUCCAUGGAUGUGGCCUUUCGCGUCCUCUGAGGGCCAACGGCUUCUCAUCCUCAUCCGCACCGCCCUCUGUUUACGCUAGGUUUCAUCAAUACUGCCUUCACGCGCUUCUGUCAGGGCGUGCUAGUUGCGGGACCAAUGGGAUUUUGACACGUUCGGAUUCUGUUUAGACGGAUCGAGAUUCUGGAUGGGCGGCAGGGGAUUCCAUGGAGCUGUGCGCUCAGAUUCUACAGGCGGCUUAAUAUUGCUUGGGCUGGGAUAAAAAUAGCUCCUCACAAAUAGGCCCAACACACUUGGACCAAAAAAUAAAUAAAUGUAGCAAUAGUUCCUUGGUUGGUGCUUGAGAUAAUUCAGAUUCUCGCCGCAUCCUUUUUGUAAAAUUUUUGAGAAUUCAUCAAUCUUGUUUACUAAUCGUACAUCGUGCGGUUAUAAAUUAUUUUAAAUAUUUUUAUUUAAAAUUAAGCACAAACAGUACUUGACAAAAUUUGACCGCACGAUGUACGAUAAACGGAUACGAUUUACGAAUUCUUAGGAUCCUCACCAAAAGGAUCCGGAGAGGAUCGUGUUGGGUAUUUUUUGUCAAUUUGUUUCAAUUUUUAAUUUUCUAUAAUUUUUUAGGGACGAAGUAGGCAAGAUUACUACUAUGGUUGGUUAUCAUAAACUAAAAUCGAAUAUUACUACUCGUCAACUUCGUAAAAAUUUUUUUGCCAAAAUAACGGAAAAUGAGAAAUCUUGAAUAAAAAUUGCUUUAGCCCAAUUGAUAUGGCUCUCUAGUCCCGACAUGGAUAGUUGGGUGAGUAAUUUUUUUCUCUCUAAACUUUGAUUCUUGAUGUGUUUACUUACUUAAAACAGGAAGAAUCCUAAACUAAAGGAAGGAAAAGAAGUAAUGGGUAUGAGCUAUAUUUCAUAAUAUUUCAGGUAUGGUAUUACGGAUUUUUCUGGAGAACCCUCACUUUGUUUGAUUCGUAUGUCAUAUUAUACACAGACAGUGCUAGUAACUAAAAUAAAUUCAAUACCCAUUUUUUAGUUAACACAUGAAGUCAAUAACUAAUAUAAUUCAAUAUCCAAUCUUUAACUAAACUUGCCAUAACAUUAAAGUUGCAAGAAGUGAUGCAUAACCUCAUUGCCAUGUGAUCAACGUGAAGGAUUCUGAAUUUUGUGGACAUCAAAUCUUUAAAUCAAAUCAGCAGAAGAUAAAAAAUUGAUAACUUUUUUCUUUCCAUCACUUUUUUGGAAAACAUUGGGCUUAAGCUUUUGUUGUGUGACACAAGUUUAUAAAUGGAACCCCACAAAAGGGCUGCCCAAGUACAAAAGAAUCUCAUCAACCCAAAAUUAACAUAACAUGUGUUGUAAACACCUCCAAAUUUAUAAACAUUGAUUCAAAUUUGACUUUGGGUUAAAGGUCAAGUUUGUCUAUUGGUUUAAAUCAAUAACUUGGGUCUUAGCUUUUGAAAUGACCUUAGUUAAAAGUUUUAUUAUAAAGUUAUAAACAUUGAAAUUAAGUUUGAUAUAAACUUGUAACUAACUUGUAGCUCAAGUCGUUAAAUGCAUUCAUCUCGUAUUCAAUUUCCACGCCCUAUAUCACUUGUAUUAAGAGCAUCUCCAAGGGACUAGACAAUUGUUUGAGGUAUAAUUGAACUUUGUUGGUGCUGUUACAUUUUGCCUAGUUCAUUUGCCUAAAAUGUCUACCUCUUAAAAAGAAAACGCAAAAUAGAUAAGACAAUUCUUAAUCUAUUUUGCCUCAUGAAACUCCCCUAGGUAGUUUUGCUUAGGCAUUUGCCUAAUCCCCUGAAGUUGUUGAUGCACAAAACCGGAUGGGUCUUGGAACAACGUAAAUCCGACCGUGAAUCUGCAAGAAAGUAAAGAACACAAGAUGUAUCGUGGUUCAUCCCAAUGUUUAGGCUACGUCCACACUGAUGUUGAUUGUAUUUCUCUGUAACUGUAUGUAUGAAUUACAAGUGUGAGGGGAGUCCCCCAGAGAAAGAGAGAGUCUGAGAGAGCUUUGCUCUGAAUAUGAGAGCCUCUGUUUGGGGAUGUGAGGCUUGAGGAUUGUGAGGGUGAGGAGUCCCUUUUAUAGACUAAAGGCUCCUCCCCUUUUACAUAGAUCAUGGGCUCAAUGUUAGGAAACCCAAGUAACGAGGCCCAACAUAAUAUGGUACUAACAGAAGUCACAUUUUACUCACGUGGCGUAGGAAAUCCAAUUUACCUUGCCUAGUGCUUUGGAGAUGCUCUUAUCUGUUUUCACACGCUCAAAAUAAGAAUUUACUGAUCAGAAAUUUCAAAUUUAAACAUACAUAGUAACGCAUAGAGAUCCAUGUGUGCGGUGAGUCAAAAAUCAAAUCUUGAAUACUGAAAGGAUGGAGCUUGGACUGGACUUGAACAGUAGUUACUACUAGAGGGAGGGAGAGAAAGAGGGGAGGGUGGGAGCUCAUCACUCAGCUGGGACCUGUGACAAAUCAAUGGGGGCGGCUAUGAAGUCUGAUGAGAUAGGCACUGUUGGCUUUUCCCAGUUUCCUUUUUCAGACAAGACGAAGGUUUUGGAAAUUUUUACUUUGUCUUUCCUGCGUUCCUAGUCUCGCAUACACAUAUUUUGCAAGGCAAUGCGAUGCGUGACCAACACCUUUGUCUUUUUAACUCCUUAGUAUAUGUCAUUCAACAACAAUCGUUCCUAGCGACUACAUCCACUACUAUAUAUAGACAUACAUCCCAUUCAAUAGAUAUACAUAAGAUUUAAUUCUACAUGGACUAGAGACAAUGACGCCUCUAAAAUUAUUGUUUAUAUGAGAGAAUCUCUCCCCUGAAUUAGGAUAGACCAUUCAUGACUUCUAUAUUAAUUGAAGGCAAAUGUUGUUUUGCCUUAUAUUUAUUUGAAUAUUUGGUUCAUAUUAAUAGGCAAUCGAAUGAUAUAUUAUGGUGCUAAUUCACCAUAAUAACUAUCUUUCUAAACUAUGAAAUUGUAAGAGACUUAUAACUAAAAUGGUUUAGAGCAUUUAACUUUGAACCUGAAGUGGUGUAUUUAAAACUACGAUUCCAUUUGUAUUAUGAAAAGGAAAAUGGGUAUCUAUAAGAAUGUACUUGCAAUAGCAUAUUAUAGGCUUAAUAGGUAGUCAAAAUCCAUUUUGUACUAAUCUUGUUAAAUCACAAGGCAAAACGGCAAAGAUUAAAAGUGGUACGGGAAGUUUCUGUAAUUCGAAUCGAACCCACAUGCAGGCACUUAACUUUGUCUCAGAGAAGUAUCUGAUGAACCAUCAAUUAAUCACCAAAACAAAGUUCAUGUUCAAAAGUAAGCACCAUACAUAUAAUAAUAGUGAUCUAUAUAUUUAGCUUGGACUCCUACGCCUCUCUCUCUCUCUCUCUCUCUCUCUCUCUCUCUCUCUCUCUCUGCUUGCCUAGCCAUGCAUGCAUGCAUGUUUUCGAGCACACAAAUUUUGUCAAUCGAUUAGUCAUCUCAGGAUCAUGGAUCCAGUGCUAGUGGGUUUCUUAAUCCUGAUAAGAAAUUAAAGGUGGAGCUAUAGGGAAACCUAGUACUUUUUUUACCGGUCCUUUUUUGCCAGUCCUUUGCCGUGGGGUUAUGUGGACGGGAAGGAUCGAUCACAGGGCCGGCCCUGAGGGUGUGCCAAGAGUGCGACCGCACAGGGUCCCCGAUUUUUAGGGACCCUUGAAUUUUAAUAACCUUUAUAAUGUACUACAUAUAAAAAAAGUGUGAACAUAGUUCACAUUGUUGCCUUAGGGGAAUUGUCAAGCACUGGUACUUAAAUUUGUGUUUGCAAAGGUUCAACUCCUAGUAGAACCAUUUUGGGCCUUUUUUGAACUACAUUAAUUUUUUCUUUUCUCUUUAAUAUUUAUAGUUUAAUUUCUAUCAUUAUAAAAGAGAACUUUUGAUGAUAAAUCUAUGAUUAGGAAUAUCAUAAUUAAUUAAAAUCCUUAAAAGUUUGAAGAUAUAAUCUUUAAAACCCCUUUUCAUAUAUGACAUCACUUAAUCGAAUACAUGUCGUUCGUUUAUUCUUUUGGUUAGCUUUUAAGGAUAAUCUAAUUUUCAUCAUAUUUAAAGACCAUUUAGUCAUCCAUAUAUAAUACAACUUUGCUCACAACACUAAAGUGGAGGUGAGCAGGUGAUGCCCAUCCCCUAUUGAUUACCGUUAGAUUAAUUUUGUUUAAUUGAUUUAAGACACGAAUAUCGAAUUCUAACUAAUCUAACGACAAUCAACCGAGUGGUGGUUAAAAUCAUCCUCAGUUCAGGGAGUGAGAAAAAAUGCAAUAAAAAAAACUAACAGUUCAUUAUAAGAUUCUACAAAUAUCAUAACCAGUUAUUUGUUUACCUAGCUCAUUAUAAAGAGUAUGAGUUGUUCUGAUUAUGAUAUAUGUACAGUCAUAUGAUAUGUACAUAGCCACCACACCAUGCUUUUUGUAUUUAAAAAGUAAGAAGUUUCAAACCCAAAAACAUAAAGAAAGUAGAUACAUAGCCACCAAACCAUACUUCUUUUUUAUUUAUUUUCUUUUGCGUUUAUAUCAAUUUAUACACAAGAAAAAAGUAUAAAAUAUAAUAGAAAAUAUAGCAACCAAAAUUUAGACCUUGUAAGGGCCUCCGUUUGAGGAAAAUAUAGCAACCAAAAUUUUGACCUUGUAAAGGCCUCUGUUUGAGUCUUGUACAGGGUCUCCAAAAUCUCAGUAUCGGCCCUGAUUGAUCAUGGAGCUUCGGGAAGUAGCACGAUGAUGGAUUUGUUUUUUUAGGAAAACUAAUGAAAAUGGCUUGAAAAUUUUGAGUUUUAAUGAUAAUGACAAAAUAAAGGGUAAAGUGAAUAGUUUUAGGUUUGACUUUUUAGUGUAAAAAUUUGAUUUUUCAUUAAAGUGAACAGUACCGUAAGUUUUUCGUUAAAACUCUCUUAUUUUUUACUAUCCGGGGUGUUUUUAUCUUUUUUUCUUGUCAAUUUCUUUCAUGUCUGAAGAUUGAUGGGAUGGUUUGAAUUACUCUCCAUCUAAACUUCCUGUCUUGGGAGGUAUCCAAUCAAACUAUGUUACUGCUGCUGCACCAAUAUUGUUCUGGUUGGCCCCUUCAUUGUUUUGUACAAAAAAUUGAUACGUGUUAGACGAAGUCAACACUUAGCAUUAAAGUGAAACACCUGAGUUCCUAAGUUUUACAGAGAUUAGCUAAGUGUUGACUUCAUCUAACAAUACGUAUAUGGUACAUUAACAUAUAAGGUCAGUUCGUAAUUACUGUGUUUUUAGUUUUGAAUUUUUGUUCUACGAAACAAAAGAAAAGUAUAUGAGAAAAUAGAGUGAUGGGAAAGAAUAAUGGGAGAUGAUGGGAAAGAAAGGGACAAAUGUAGAAACUAUAUAUAUGCUGAAAUUGAAAAUAACUUAAAAUUGUUUUUUAGUUUUUUAUUUUUAUUUUCAUGUCGUACACCAUUUUAUUCCUCAUUCUUUCUACAUGUUUUUUAAAAAUAAAAAUAAAAUCCUACAGCACAAAAAUAAAACACUACAAACUAAGAACGAAAUGCUUAUUAAACCCGUGUCCCUCAAAUAAUUUGACUGAAAAUAAAUGGGGUGUUGGCCGUGAACGUAGCUUUUUUUAAAGUAGCUAGCAUGUUGGAAUGAGAAACAAACUGUUGACACACUGAGUUUGGAGAUGCCAAGACAAAAAAUUGUCUCAUAUAUCUUCACUUUCUGUUGAACAUUGAGAUUUUGCACAUAUAUGUACCACGAUGGCACUUGUGCAUGGAUAUUGUCUGAGAUUCUAAUUGAAAAAUGUAUAUAAACAUAGUAACCAGUAGUACUAUAGUUGAAUGAAAUGUUACUUUUAAGAAGCUGGGUAGGGUGUCAAGUGAGCUCUUUUUACUUUCUUACAGUGCAGGUGACUUGCCCUUAAAGAAAAACAGUACCACCCAUGACAGAUUUUUCAUUUUCCAAAUUUUACUUUAUGUAUAUACUUUAAAAAUAUAUAUAUAUAUAUAUAUAUUUUUUUUUGAAAAUUAAAAUGGUAGUAACCCUUUCCAUUUUCCACCAAAAUUAAUAAUAUUCGUAUUAUUUGGCACUAUCACUAUCACUAUCACUAUCAUCAUCUCUUUUAAUAACAAAAGUUGGGGAGAUAAACUCACGCCUUCACAGUCUACAGUUCUCCAUGUUUGCAUACUGUAUGCCAAUAUAUGUGUGCAUUUCCAUAUAUUUAUCUUUUUAACUCUCUCUACUUUUGGACUGAGAGAGAAAGAGAGAGAUUAUAUAAGGGCAGAAGAUGAAUAAUGCAUAAAUAAAUGGACAGAGAGAGAAAGAGAGAGAGGCAGAAGAAAAUUACAGAGCCAAGCUAAGGUAUCGGGAAUCGACCAUUAGGGUUUUGGAGAAAAGUGAUGGGGGAAAAAGUAUGGAGUGGUAGUGUUUUUGUGUUCUUUGCCACUACCACUGCUCUCCUCCUUUGCCGGUUUUUGUCUCCUCCAUUCCCAAACACGCCAAAACCCAAACAUCUCAUCUCAUAUUAUUUCCUCCCUGCUGCUUUCCAAUCCAACCCAGUGCAGUCCACGUGCAACUUGCAAACUCCCCUCUCUCUAGCAAUUUUUCAAUGUACGAGUAACACCGUUGCAUAAUGCUAUAGUUGGACUCAAAUUGUAAUACUUUGAAAGUUGACAUAUCAAUUACGUCACUCAUCCAAUAAUCCAAUAAUACGUGGAAAACUACAUCACGUCAGUGACAAGUGUUGCAGCUACAUACAAAAAUUUAACCUUUGUCUCUCUAUCUUCCUCUUGCAAUGUCACUAAUUUGAUUAAUUUGAAAUUGAUAUUAUCCUGAGCCUGAAAUAGUGAAUUCCAUCGUUUAGGUUUAGGAAUUUGAAGAGUGCUAGCCUGAAAUAGAUUUCAUAUUAAGUAUUAAAUUUUAAUAUAAUGUGCGACCUAAAAAAGGGAAAUUUCAAGAAGGGGAAAAACCCCACCAAAUUUAUAACCAAUGAAAGCAAGUUUGUCGGCUAAGAACUUAUUUGCCGACAAAAUAUUUCAUCGGCUAUAACAUUAAGUUGUCGGAAAAAGUUCGCGCCAAAACUUUAGCCUUGGCGCGUGUUUAGCCGAGCAAGCAAAAAAUUCGUCAGGUGAAAGUUCUUUUGCCGACAAAAUAAUUUUGUUGGCUCAAAAUUCGUCGGCAGAGCUGGAUUUUCUGGCAGUGUAUAUACAUAAUAAACAUGGUUUCUUUAUUUAUUGCCUCUCUCUAGCCCCCACUUCCCUUCUCCACCAAAAGCCCAAAAUCUCACCCCUCUCUUUCUCUCUCUCAUAUAAACAAAUAAACAAAAUCACCACCACCAUGCAAACUCCCUUCACUACUACUACAAUAGACGAAGAUUUUCAGGAUGAGGACUCCAUUUUUCUUUCUCUUGGUCCUCCUGGACAGGAUGUCCCCAAACAGUACCACCUCAUCUACCACAACCAAUCUUCUUCCUCAACUCAACCUGAUCACCAUCGAACUUUUUAUCAUGAUUAUUCAAACCCUAAUCCUGAUCCCGAGGACGGCACUAUCACAGUGGCUCUUAACAUUGAGCCACCGAGUGGUGGAGGCGGUAGACCGAGCUCAUCAUCCAUCAGCAAACCUAACCACAACCACAUUGGCGGUCCUGUGGAAGGCCAGUACUGGAUUCCCUCCCCUGCACAAAUCCUCGUAGGCCCCACCCAGUUCUCUUGCCCUGUCUGCAGCAAAACAUUCAACAGAUACAACAACAUGCAGGUAGUACUCAUCAUCAUCAUAAUUAAUAACACACAAAUCCAUACCACUACUAGUAGUUCAAUACUAACACUGCCUCUUGUAUAUUUUCAGUAUUUUGGUUUCUCUACUGCGAUCCUCAUGAUUUUUUGUGUUCUAGGAACACAAUUUUGUCAAACACUUGCACAAAAAUUUGAUUAUAUCUCCCUUUUUUUUUUUCAAUUUUUGCUUUAUUUCCACCCAUAAUUGUCAUCAUCAAGCACUCCAAAAAUCACGAAUUAUGAGUGGAAUCAUAUAUCUAUAUUGCCCUGAUUUACAGAUUUUUUUUUUUAAAUCAAACACUUGUGUUACAAUUUGUUUAUUUCACUUUUUUUUCUUUCCCGAAAUUUUGUUGCCGUUUAUUUCCGCUCACAAAUUGUCAUCUUGCAUUUCAAAAUCACCAAAAAAAAAAAAAAAGUUGAAUCAUCAAUCAAACAUUUUCACCCUAAUAUAUGUAUUUUGUUUAAUUUGUGUUUACCCUCUAAUUAUUUGUAUGUAGAUGCAUAUGUGGGGUCAUGGAUCACAAUACAGGAAGGGACCUGAGUCUUUGAGAGGGACAAAACCAGCAUCAUCAGUGCUGAGACUUCCAUGCUAUUGCUGCGCAGAGGGGUGCAAGAACAACAUAGAACACCCGAGGUCAAGGCCGCUCAAGGACUUCAGGACACUGCAGACACAUUACAAGAGAAAGCACGGGACAAAGCCGUUCGGGUGCCGCAAGUGCGGGAAGCCGUUUGCAGUGAGAGGCGAUUGGAGGACUCACGAGAAGAACUGCGGGAAGCUCUGGUUUUGCAUUUGUGGGUCGGAUUUCAAGCACAAGAGAUCGCUCAAAGACCACGUUCGUGCGUUUGGUGAUGGACAUGCACCUUAUGGUGUGGAGCUGUGUACUGAGCCUGAAGAAGAAGAUCACGUGGAUGACGAGGAGGACGAUAACAAUGACGAUGAUUUGGUUAUUAAUUAGUUAAUUAAUACACUUACUUGGUGUUUAACUUUUGAAUUAGUUAGCUAGCUAGGUAAAAUUAAGUAAUUAGGGUUUUAGUUAAUAGUGAGUGAUGGGACUGUGACUGUCUCUAGCUUGUUUGUGAGAGAGUGAGGGAGUGAGAAGAUGAAGACAACAAACAAUACAGUGAAAAGCCAAGGUUCUAUGCAUUUAAUCUUGGAAGUGCCAGUUCAAUCCUUUAAUUAACGUACGUACCUUUUCUGAUAACUUAUUUUAAUUAUUUUUUGAAAAAAUAAAAUACUUGUUGAGAGAGAGAGGGAGGGAGAGGGAGAGGGAGAGCGAAGGUGGUCAAGUAAAUUCAGUGACUACAGAACACAGAGAGUAGGGCAGUGCAGUGCAGUGGAGUCACAGAUUCUACUGUUCAUAGCUUUUACAUUUGGAGAGACAUCUAGUGAAAAAAGAAAUGCUAAAAAAAAUACGCCAACACUUGGAUCGAACGAUCAAUGAGUCCGUCGAUAUGUUGUCAGUGAGGGGUAAGUUUUUGGGACCACUGAAAAAAUUGCAGUAUUUGGGGUUUCACUCAAGGGUUCUCCUUUUUUCUUUUCAGAACAACUACAAACAGAUACUACGAAACAUUUUCAGACUCCUGUGGUGUGAGCUUUGCCCUUUAACCCUGUCUAUCAAUUUUCUGCAUGCAUAAAAUGGGACCUUUUCCCUCCUUUCUUACUACUCUCUCAUAAUUAUCACCCUUUUUUCUUUUGUCUUUUCAUCCUUUCUUAAUUUUUUUCCUAUCCUUUUUCGCUUUUUUAUUUAAUAUAUAUAUAUAUAUAUAUAUAUACGCGGCUGCCAUGCAACUCAAAGCCCGCAUAUGGAUCACGCGACUGUUAAUUUAAUCAGGUUGUGAUCGCUAAUUAAUUAUAAUUUGUGUCCGUGUGCAGCUUGUAUGCAUGGAGAGAUUAUUCAGUAUGACCGUCAUAUAAGGUGGUACUUCAUGUGUUUUUAUAUUAAUGGUAAAUUAUAUGUGUUAAAAGGUUAAUAACUUAAAAAUUAAAACUUUCUAUCACUUGCAUAAAAACACAUGGUGUAUCACUCGUGUUCCGUCACAAUUAAAAAUUUCUUGUAUGCGUGAUGCUAGGGUUACAAAAGUUAAAAACAUAAGGACCAGUUGACCAUUGGUUCUUGAAUUUUCUUCUACAUAAAUUAAGGGGCUUGGUCUGGAUCUUAAUUAACAUCUUUUGUAAUGUAUGUUAAUAAGAUAUGAGUUUUAGAUCUGAGGCAAUUGAUACAGUAAUUUAAACUUAAAAUCUCAGUCAGUUUCUUUCCAUGUGUGAGCCAAUCGGUUGCUCGUUGCUUUUAAUAUUGCUUGCACGUAAUAUUUAAUUGAGUAAUGUUAGGGAGAUUAAAUUUGUAAACUAAAUUAGCAAACCAAAUGAGGUGUCAUCAAUAGAAAAUAAGCACAUUUAUCAACGAUUAAGUAAUAAUCAAAUUACCAACUUUCAUAUCAUUAGGUUACAAGAUUUAGUCUAGCAUUCCUUUAUUUAAUUCUUCUUAAACCUUUUUAUGUCUGUUUUGUGUCUGCAAAUAUCCGUCUUCGGAAACGCGGCCCCCCAUCAUAUUCAUAAUACUGCUAUUAGCUAAAAGACUCGAACGACUUGUACAGCAGUUCAGGCAAUUUUCUAGUGGUUAUAUAUUGCUGUACAUGUAUUGUUAUGUAUAUAAAAUGUAAACUAAUACUGGAUAUUACCUUGCCUGAAAGUUAAAGAUAAACUUGUGCUAUUCAAAAGAUGAGUAGGAUUUUUACUCAAGGAUCGCCUCUACAAAAGAAUUAAUUAAAAUUAAGGUCGUUCAGUCAUCGAAGUCAUCCGAGCGAAUUUGAUAAAAGCAUCACAAACCAUCUAUGUGUUUGCUAUAAUAGAUUAAAUGACCUUAGUUUUAAUUUAUUUUUUUUGCAAAGAUGAUCUUUACAAUGUGAUUUAUAAUUAAUAUGAGGCGUUUUUGAUCGAUCAUAAGCACAAUGCUCUUUAAUUUGAACACGAUGAGUUUUGAAUAUGAAUUCCUAUUUAUUUUUUUAGUAGCCAAGCAUUGUUCAAUAGAAAAAAAAAAGUUUAUUUUCCCAGCUGGUUACAGUUGUUUUAUGUAAUAAACAGCAGGUUCUGGUUCAAAAAGAUUUUCUGGGCAAGCAAAAAAAGACUGGUUUGGUUGAGUACUUUGGAGCAAAUAAUGGGGAUUCUCAUAUGGCCAAGUACAAAAAGUGAUAGUGUGUGUAUAUAUAUGGGGGUGUGAUAUCCACACACCUCAUUUUAUUUCUCAUACACCCUUCUAAUUUUUGACCGUCGGAUCGGAUGAAUUGAAUAAGAUCAACGGAUAAAAAUUAAUAAGGAUGUGUGAGAAGUAAUUUGGGGUGUGUGGAUAGCACACCCCUAUAUAUAUAUAUAUAUAUAUAUAUAUAUAUAUAUAUAUAUAUAUAUAUAUAUAUAUAUAUAUAUAUAUCUGUGUGUAUAUUACAGGCUGAGGAACUGAGCUUGCUAGCUUGUGAUGUAUCAGAUGUAAUUAGAUGCGCAUGCAAACAUGAAUAAGAAGAAGCAUAGGAGCGUCCGGAUGCUGAGCAAUAAGAACCAUUUCAGGUUAAAAUUUCAUUGAUUUUUGUUAGUUGAAUACUUGAAUUAUAUCUGCCAAGGCGACUGGACAUUAAACCCAACGUACUAGAUCCAUGUGAUUUGUACAGACUCUUUGCAAGUCACUGGUCGAAUGUACUCAAAGAUCAAUAGUUUACAAGGUACAUGGUCGUCUAUAUUUUAGAGGUCAUGUGCGAAUUUAAUAAAAAGGUCUUCCUUUAUUUAAAAAAUAAUAAUUUUUCAGACAAUAUAUUCAUUAUUCAAACUUAAUUGAUUAGCAUGUCAUUCUUAUUAAUUGAAUAAUUUACAGUUGCCAUGAAAUUAUACUUUAUGGCUCAUCCAUGAAAGAUUGAAAAAGAGGUAUGGAAAUACACUUCUGUUUGUAAAAGAAAGUAAUAAACAAAUUAGUUUUUAAUUGCUAAAGAAAAGUGGAAGAAAGUAAUAUACAAGUUUUUUAUUGCUAAAGAAAGUGAAAAAUUAAUAUAUUUAGUAUAAGCUCCACUUAAUCAAUUGUAAUAUAAAUAAAAUCAUAUUAUGAUGCUUUUUUUUUUCAGUCAAAAAUUUUUUUAUUAGAAAAUUUAUAUCCAUAUGUAAUAUAUAGGAGGAUAAAAAAUUUGGGGCCCCUAAUUUUGCUUCAACACCUUUUGCACACCCCAACGCCCCCUUUGACAAGGUACCAUCUGUUAAGUAAUAUGCAGGAAAGAAUAUUAGCAAGAUAGCAGAGGAAGAAGAAGGAAACAGAGAAGAUUUAGAGAGAGAUAGAGAGAGAGAGAGAGAGAGAGAGAGAGAGAGAGAAUUUUAUACUUGUAUUUGCUUGAAUGAUUUGAUUACAAAGAUACUAUUUCUAUAUGGUUGGAUAUUCACUCUAUACAAAUCUUACUCAUUAAGCCACAAUCUUAUCUUCUUAUCCGAAUCUUACAAUUCCAACAAUCCUAACUACCUCAAUUGUUUAACUAACGACAUGUGUCAUGAUCCACACCCUCCAUAUCCUAUAUACUCUAACAUCCCCCCUCAAACUCAAGAUUGGGGCACCCAAUCAUGAGGUUGAAGCAGUCAGGUUCUCAAAGAAUCAUUAGUGCAAUAUUCCAUGCAAUUGGAUAGUGAGGUUGCUGCUG